RNAcentral lists this long non-coding RNA (51437 nucleotides) under Triticum aestivum (bread wheat). RNAcentral's name for it is "long non-coding RNA (TAES_LNC010980)". The stretch from base 25476 to 25531 matches the Rfam family "tRNA", at positions 10 to 63 of the family's 71-position model. Lineage: Eukaryota; Viridiplantae; Streptophyta; Magnoliopsida; Poales; Poaceae. The record is from RNAcentral.
AAAGAGUUUAGGAGGCAGCCCAUGAUCAUUCUGUCUAGAAACCUUGAAGAAAUUAGUGAACCAAGCACUAUCGGCUGUGAUUUUUCCAUAUCCUCCGAGUUGACUCUUUUUGUUCCAGUUGAACAAAGAUCGCCACCCUUUAGCACUUCCCACCUGCCUGCAAAAGGCUGUUCCUGCUGAAUCUAGUGCAAAGUAAGCCAUAUGUCCCUGUUCUGAUAUCACUCCAACUAGCACAACAACAUGAGCAGAAACAUCCUCUAAGUUGAGCCACAACAGAGGCAGGCAUAGCUGUGUAGUAUUGACAAUACUGCAGUUGUUCAUAUCCAACACCAUCAAAGAAGGUAGCAAGCACAACAUUGCCAUCAGCAAUUUGCCGACAAACUUCCUCGAAAUCAUCAUAGUGAAUGGCCCGGAUUUCACCACCAGUGAAGUGAUGACUCACACUUUUAGUUGACUGCAUGGAUUCAAAUCCAAUAAUGUUACAGCAAGUGGUGGAUAGCAAGUGAUUUCAAAAAGAUUUCACAAAAAAAACGUUGUGGACAUCAAGUAAUAGAGUCAAAAGCAUACCAUGGAUUCCAUUGGAACUCCUGCCAAAAGCAUUGAAAGCAUGCGCAGAAUUUUGUGGACACCGCCACCAGUAGUUCUGAAAGGGAACUCUUCAUCAAAACGACUAAUGAAGUGUUCUGGAACACAAUAAGUGUUAGCCACACUUAAUACAGGUUCCUCGCUAGAGCACGCAAUCAUUAUUCUGUUCAUCAUCUCAGCCAGUUGAGCUACUGCAUAUGCCACACAUUCACCUGCACAAAAACAGAACAAGAAUGACUAGGUUAUACACAACAUAAGAGCAUUUACGAUAAAAGAAAUCACUUACAUAUAUUACUAGAUGAUUUAUAGGCAUUCAUAACAAAUAUUAAAAUAUAAAACUAGCACAUUACUACAAACAAGAAUUAGGACAGGGAAGAGUUAAUCAGCACAAAAUUGGUCAGGAGGAAGAACGAAAACUACCAUAGGCAGAACAGAUGUUGUACGACAGAUUUGAAAUGCACAAAAGAACUUACCAGGAUCGCCUACUUUGAUUUUCUGUUCUUUGGCUUCACCCACAAUCGAAAUUCCAUUCAUCAAGACAGUUGCAUGGUUUAAACUAAAGUUAUUUGGGUUCUACAAGAAACAAGUUAUAAGUUUCAUUCGAGAGAAACAAAGUAACAAAAGAAAAAUAGAUGAAGGAACAAAUUCAUACCAUAGAUUUACAGCCAACACAGUACAAUGGUGGGAAAUCAAACACAAGGAAUCUUAUAGUUUUCAUCUUCUGAUGGCAAUGAGGACACUCCCAGCUUGGGACAUCACAUUCACUUCUAGUGCCAAAAACAAUUUCGACUCCAUUAAUUAUCCAGGGUUCCAUAGGACCUUGCAUGAGAUCUGCAAGAAAAAAAAUCAGAUGUACGAAAGUUAUAAUCUCGAGACUGGGUCAGAUGUACAAUUUGGGAGGAGAAGAGAUUAGAACCGCCGAUGGAUAACACCAUCUACCCUGGUUCGGGAUAAAAACUUGCAUGUAGAAAAAUAAAGAAACACAACACCGCCCACCCUUUGUCUAAGAUGAGGGUUCAGUGACUGGAUUAUCUAGCGAAUCCGGAAAGUAAAGUUCCAAAUCAUCAACGCAAAAUCUACCAAAUCAAGAUUCUUUUCGAUUCUUCUAAAGUAGAGUUGCAGAAGAUCCAAGGGGACAGAUCUAAAUUAGAGUAGGAUCCAAGGGGUCAGGUAUACCAAAGUUGGGUAUCGAUUCUAGACUAGAGUUACAGAUAAGGAUUCAGAUCUGCGAUUUGGGAACGGUAUCUACUCUAAACUAUUUAGGUCAACUCCACCGCGCGACCCCAAACGGACGUCCGUUUUGUCCGGUUUCUGUCCGUUUGGGUAGGGAUUUGGGGUCGUGUCCGGGCCUGUUCCGGGAUGCGGUGGCCGUGCGCCCACCGCGCGGACGCAUCCCGGCCACAUCCUGUCCGCGUAUUAUUUCUUUGCAAGUCCUUAACUUUAUUUCAUCAUUCAUUUUUGGUACAUGGAAAAGCAUCGUCACAUUUUAACUAGUAAAACAAGACCAAAGAAAAUAAAAACAACAAGAAUACAUUUUAGAAGAUAGCCAACUUACAUAACUGCCCCCUUGAGUUGGGUUAGGGCCUUCUCGAUGCACUCAUUGCUGAUCUAUGGAGGAGGCUCGAUCUGGCAUCCUCCUUUCUUCUUCAAGCCAGAAGUAGAUGUUGCUUCCUCAGACCUAGUCUCGUGUCUAGCCUCUAAUCUAGCAACAAGUGCACUUGUCUCAUUUACGGCCUCUAUGCUAGCUAAAAGUGCACGAACAUGUACUAAAUUUCUCUCUAUCAAUAUAUCGAUGUACUCUUCUUCCCAAUACCAAAACUUGCAUCCAUUCAACACAACAAAAUUUGAAGUUAGCACAACUAGUUAAAUCUAGAGCACAAACCGACGCUAAAAAAGCACAUACCCCAUCGUUUAAGCACUUGAUGAACACUCAUCCGGAAUGUUCCGGCGUUGUAGACACGCGGCGCACGACCAUCCUUGGGCAAUGGUCGCACUUAAUGAGUGGCAACGGUGCGCCGGCGAGCUUUUGGGCAAGCACCGAGCCCGGCCGGCCGCCAUUCGUGUAUCUGCCGGCGGACCACCGACGGUGCAGAUCCGAGCGGCUAGAGGAGGAGCCACUGCCUACAUGUGGCCUUGCGGCCCUUCCAGGGCCUUCCGGCGAGGUGCCCGGGCAGUCCAUGGCGCGGCCCGGUCUCCCUUAGCCGGCCGAGCUCAAGAUCGACCGGAUCCUCCCCAAAACCGGCCGGCGGGUGCGCAAACCAGGUGGCCGUGGUCGCGUCUGAGCCCGGCGCCGAGGGGAAGGGGUUGGGCGAGCUCGCGUCCGAACUGCACGGCUGCAAUGGCAGCGGCGGCGGUGGCGGCAGCGACGGGAAAGAAUGGGGAAGAGUGGAGGGGGUGCGGCCGGAGGGAGGGAGGGGGCGGAUAGAAAAAGGCCCGUCUUGUGCCACCGACGGGCGGGCCAGGGGAGGACACGCGCAGACGACCCGCGUGUCCGCGUGGUGUCCGUUUCACCCCAAAACCAGCGCAAGUUUGGGCCGGGGAUGGGUCGAAAGCGGACACAAAGCGGACAAAUGUCCGUUUGCUCCCGCGCGCUGGGCCGCCUUUUUUGUCUCUUUUACCCCAAACAGACGGGGCCGGACAGGAUAGGGUCGCGCGGUGGAGUUGGCCUUAGAGAUAAUGGAUUCAGAUGUACGACUUGAGAACCAGGGGGAGGGGAUAGAAUGGGAUAAAAACCUCUAGUGGAACAAACAGCCCACGGCUCCGGGGGGCGGCGGGGGGCGGCUGAAGCUACUGGAGCGGGGGAGGGAGAGAAGCCGUUGUGGGGGGUAUUUAUCUGCGUUAUGAUGAUGCGGGGCGGGCCUGGACAGCCAUUGGAUCUAGGGCAAAAUGGGCGGAUGCGGUGGCGUAUUCAGAGUAUGGGGCGUGGAUGGCGGGCGUGCAGCGGGGUUACAAUCGAUCCUUUCGCAACUCUGAUUUUCAUGGUGAGUCGAGUAAAUAAAAUACAAGAGUAUAUUUAUAAUAUUAAAGGACGGUAGAUUUCAUAGUUCUCCAUACAUCAUCCUGUUUAUAUCCGUUAAUUUUGUUUUAACUAUGAAGAUUGACGAUUGAGAUUUUCCAAAAUAAACGAAGGGUUAUGAGGUGUCUUCAGGUCGCAUCGCUAGUUCUGUCCGCUUGUCCAACACGUAACCAACACCGUAAAGCUAAUCCCCUUUGAUUUUCUCCUCCCAAAUCCCCUUGCCAAAUCCUUUUAAAAAAAUCCCCUUGCCAAAUUUCUUCUCAAAUUGAAAAACAUGAGGUCAGCAAGAUGUGGCCAUUGGAGGGCGAGCGUAAGCUCCACGUUACCGGCAGAGGACGAGCCAGCCGGCUUGAGGUUCUCCGACGGCGAGUUUGACCACUUCCCUAGGAUGACGCAUGGCUUACCAUGACGAUCGGCGUAGGCGGGCACCUCAGCGGCUGCGGCUUCGGCCUGAUACUGCGGAAGCACGGCCUCGCCGCGGAUCACGUCGUCGAUGCCUUCAUGGUGGAUGCCAAUCCAACACAGGGAGUGUCGUGGUAUUUUCACGGCAGAUGUCCUCUUAGGACUUAGUCGCGAGGCCAUCAGUGUCGAGUGGUAGAUCAAAGGUGUUAAACGAGAGACACAAUGAUUACCCAGAUUCGGCCCCUCUCGGUGGAGGUAAAAGCCUACUUUUGCUUGGAUUGCAUUGAUGAUCUCGAUUACAAGGGUUUCGCAUGGCUAAGCUAGCAAUCGAGGGGUUCUAACUUGAUCUUUCUGACCCUGGGGCUCCCCUUUAUAUAUAGGGUGAGACAAGGGGCGUACAUUAGAGUUCGGGCCGGAAACAUGAUCCGUGCCCAAGUCUUUCUUGUCCUCUAAGGAAUAAUACAAUGGCGGUUCGCAAGUAGGCUUCUGUCGGCACGUCAUGGGCCGGCCCAUCCAGCGGGCGGCUUAUCCUUCUAGGCGAGUCUCCUGGAGGUCUUCGGCCCACCUGGCUUGGUCCAUCUUGUAAGUCGCCAUCAGCAUUGACCCGGCCCUAAACGGGCGGGUUAUAUCCUGUGAUUAUAUCCCCAACAUUAGUCCUCAGGUUGACUUGGAUUCAUUCAUGACAACCUUCGAAACCAUUGUCCUAUGCAGCUCGGCAAGCAAAAUCAAGGUGACUUCACUCGGCUUCUGUAAGUGAAUUGGUGCUUGUAGCUUGUAGUUAUGCUUGGUUUCCCUUAAUGAAAAUCAGAGGACACUUUCAUGGAAUGGUGGGACAAGGCUCGGAAGUCCUUUCAUGGUAAGCUCAAGAGAGGGUUUGACUCGUUUGUCAUCUUGACCGCGUGGCAUCUAUGAAAGCAAAGAAACGCAAGAGUGUUCAACAGGAUCGAUCAAGCGCGCACGGACACUAACCUUGUCCAGCUCAUCCAUGAGGAGAUCAAGCUUUGGAAGAAGGCGGGUAUAGGAGUUGAGGGCUUAGAUAGAUUUGUGAGAGAGUAAUCUUUUGUGUCUUCUUUCGGAGUUGGAGUUCUGUGUAUCCCGUCUUAGCACGGGUUCUUGUAAAACAUUCUUUCUUCCUUCUAUAAAAAAUACGGUACACUUUUGGCGUACUCUCGAAAAAAAAUCAGAAGGGAAAUCCCUUUUUUUCUUUAAAACAGGUGAGUUCAUUCGUGCAAGGACAAGAACCGCCUUCAGAAGUGUUAGAGCAUCGACAACUGGCCUCCUCGAAUCCUUCCUUAAACGUCUACAGAAGUGUCGGAUCAUGAAAAAAAAGGAAAAAAGUGAUUUAAUCGAACCUCUCUAUCAUUUUUAUACAUUCGGGCUAUCCACGGACCCUCGUACCGAGACCAAAAUGUAGGUAGUACAUGAGGGCUCGCGGGCGCCUGGUCUGUUCACCACAUAAGACGCGAACUAUUCUUUCUUUUCUUUUCACUCUCUUCAUCUCAUCAAUCACAUGCAAGUGAUCGAACGAGAAAAUAUAAGUAUGUCCACAUGAACGGACAAAUAGGAACGUGUCCGUGGGGGCAGAUUUGCUAAGUCCAUUUGCAGAUGCUCUUACCGCUGUGCAAGUGACAAAGCGUUAGUACUACGGUGUACGGGAGAGGUAGAUCGGACAGGGGUACCCAUCGGACAGUGGGCGCCACUGGAACGUGGUGCCACCGAGUGCGAGUAGUAGAGCAUGUGCCAUUUUAAACUUGUUGUAUGCAGAAACAGAUUGAAUAAAGCAUGAUUAUAAGUCACCGACGUUUAUUAACCAGGCCUGGCUUUCGACUAUAAGUUGCCAGUAUGAUGAUAAAGUAUCCAGUAUUUAUUAACCCGGACUGGCCUGGUUUUGAUUAUAAGUCUCCAGUAUAUAUUUGGAUUGCGCCAUUGGAAUCAUGCGCUCAUAAAUCAUUGGAUUAUAUUAUUAAAAUCUUCAAAUAGCCAACAUGGCUGGAUUUUAUUAUGGUUAUCAGUAACCAGUGUUAUGAUUAAGGUUUUUAAAGUCGCUUUAGCGCAAUGUCUAUUAUGUUAUCAAUGGAUAUGAUUUAUUCUACAAUCGAAGGAAUAGUUCUGAGUCGCUGCAGGCUGACGACCAGGCACUUGGGGGCUACAUUAUUCAAAUUGAGAUUACAUCAAAUAUUCAAGUCCCAUGUCAUUGCCAGCAUGCACCAUGGCACUUGGGGGCUAAUGCAAAAUUAUUGUUUGCUCACCUUAUUGAAGACCCGACUCAUCACAUUGUAAUGAGCCGGCCCUUGGGAGCUACCAAUUGCUCUUGUUAACAAUUCAAGGUACACAAGUCUUAAACCAUUAUAUUGAAGUAUCCACUCCUCAGUUGGUAAAGCACAAAGCUCUUAACCUUGUGGACGUGGGUUCAAGCCCCAUGAUGGGAGUUGCAUCAUAUGACAUUCUUUUCAAAGAAGUAUAUAUAAAGUCCCAGCUCAGUAUUAUCUUACUAAGCCGGCCUUUGGGGGCUACAUGUUGCUGCUCCAGUUUACAAGAUUAUAUCUACAAAGUCUUUGUUCACAUAAUGACCCGACACUUAGGGGCUAAUGCAUAUUGCUUUUUUUUAGGACAAUUCUAUGAUGACCCGGCUACACUAUUAUGACUAUAGCCGAUUCAUGGGGCUACACAGAUGGAUUUUAUUUAAAGCCAUGGUGAUAAGUCCCGAAUUAUUCAUGCGGAUUAAACCGACCCUUGGGGGCUACAGGUGAUAUGAAUAUAAUGGAGGAACAUCUUCAAGUUCUCAGUUCUUGGAUAUCAUAUUUUCAGUUCUGGCUUGGAUAGCUAAGGAAAAUCAACUACAUAAUCCGGUGUGAGCAACAAUCAUGACCCGGCAUCAUUUGUUUAUAAUCCGGAGAUCUUGGCAAUCAUAAACGGGCAAGUCCUACAUCUUCAAGCCGGCUGAAAAUCAAGAUGAGUAUUUCAAAACCAAUAUUUUUUUCAAGUUGGAGUUUUGGAAGCCGAUUCAAAUGGAUUAUUUCUUAUAAUACUUCUCUACGAGAGACCAAUAUCAGUAAAUGGAUUAUGAAACUGGCUUAUUAACGCGGAUUUUCUAGAAGAAAGAAAUGACAAGGAUUUAAGGAUGAUCAAGAGACGGUUUACAAGAAUUCUUAACCCGGAGCACAAUCUGUCAAAUUUGUUCUGGUGUUUAUUUUGCAGAAUCAGUUUAACAUGGAUGAAUCCAAAUUAAACUGGGGGCUAAUGUCGGGGAUAUACCCCGCGGUAAACCGGCCGGAUGUAUAACCCGGCUGAAGAAUGGUGCUUCAUUGGUGACCCGUCCGGAGCUUGGCGACUCAUGGCUAUCCUGCCCUGGAUUGGCGUAACCCGGCGGGCGGGUCAGGCGGAUGACAAGGCCCAAGGCCUAGAAGGCCGGUUCAUGUUAUGGUGGGCCGGUUUAAGAGAAAAGGCAUAAGGAAUAUUCCCCUACAAAGGAAGCAAGACUAGGACUCCACUUGUAAUAGAGUAAUUCUAAUCCUAAUAGGACUAGUCAUGUAACCCACCCCUUCAACAUAUAUAAGGAGGGGCAUGGCUCCCAAAAGAGGGACAAGCAAAGAAGAAGCAAUCUCUAGGGCUAGACACAAAGAGCCGGUUUACCGGCGACUUCCUUAUGAUGAUAAUGAGACCUAGCCACCAACAGCAUGUAGGGUUGUUACCGGAUGAUGUUUCCCGGGGCCCGAAGCUGUCUAAAUCCUCGUCUUGUGUGUUGAUCCGACCUGCGUCUCUCAUCACAAUCAACCGCUCUCAAGCUAUCACAUAGAUGCGUUGGCUUCACGACUAAGUCCUGGCACUAAGGACAUCUGCCGUGACAAUUCCACGACACCCUCCGUUUCUAAAUAUAACUUUUUUUGGAAAUUUCAAAUGGACUACAACAUACAGAUGUAUGUAGACAUAUUUUAGAGUGUAGAUUUACUCAUUUUGCUCUAUAUGUAGUCACUUGUUAGAAUCUCUAGAAAGACUUGUAUUUGGGAACGGAGGGAGUAGUACUAUCCCGUCCAGAAAUAAAUGCCACUUGAACCGAUAUACCUAGCAGCGUUUGAGUGUCAUUUAUUUCCGGACAGAGGGAGUAAUACUCCCUCCGUUCCUAAAUAUAUGUCCUUUUAGAAAUUUCAGUAUAGAUUACAUAGGAAACAAAAUGAGUGAAUCUAUACUUUACAUCCGUAUGUAAUCCAUAUUAAAAUCUCUAUAAAAGACAUAUGUGCGGGAACGGAGGGAGUAUAACGUAAGGGUGAAUCAAAAUCAAUUCUGAUAUCAAUAUAUGUAUCCCAAACCCAGGGCUCAAAUUCUCAAGGAGUCUGUCAUUCUGUUAGUCUUCAUAACAUGUGCACCAAUGCUAGCAGCCAUUUCAAAAUGAGUCCCGCUUCGGUACAACCCCCCUCCAAAACGUAUAAAGGACAAUAUAGUCUUUUCACGCAUCGUAUCCUUUUUCAUAAGCAUGUUCCGUUGCAUGCCGUAUGUACGAGGAGCCCAUUUAUGUGCUAACACCCACAGGUUGGCCCAUUAAUAUUUUUUUUAAUAUUCAAAACAGAUGCGGGUAGUGUGAUUCGAACUCAUUACCACAUUGUAUUCAUACAGUGCACUAACCAAGUGGUAGAGCUGACGCUGGCGUACAGACGGCGGGCGGGUCAGACGGAUGACAAGGCCCAAGGCCUAGAAGGCCGGUUCAUGUUAUGGUGGGCCGGUUUAAGAGAAAAGGCAUAAGGAAUAUUCCCCUACAAAGGAAGCAAGACUAGGACUCCACUUGUAAUAGAGUAAUUCUAAUCCUAAUAGGACUAGUCAUGUAACCCGCCCCUUCAACAUAUAUAAGGAGGGGCAGGGCUCCCAAAAGAGGGACAAGCAAAGAAGAAGCAAUCUCUAGGGCUAGACACAAAGAGCCGGUUUACCGGCGACUUCCUUAUGAUGAUAAUGAGACCUAGCCACCAACAGCAUGUAGGGUUGUUACCGGAUGAUGUUUCCCGGUGCCCGAAGCUGUCUAAAUCCUCGUCUUGUGUGUUGAUCCGCCCUGCGUCUCUCAUCACAAUCAACCCCUCUCAAGCUAUCACAUAGAUGCGUUGGCUUCACGACUAAGUCCUGGCACUAAGGACAUCUGCCGUGACAAUUCCACGACACCCUCCGUUUCUAAAUAUAACUUUUUUUGGACAUCUCAAAUGGACUACAACAUACAGAUGUAUGUAGACAUAUUUUAGAGUGUAGAUUUACUCAUUUUGCUCUAUAUGUAGUCACUUGUUAGAAUCUCUAGAAAGACUUGUAUUUGGGAACGGAGGGAGUAGUACUAUCCCGUCCAGAAAUAAAUGCCACUUGAACCGAUAUACCUAGCAGCGUUUGAGUGUCAUUUAUUUCCGGAUAGAGGGAGUAAUACUCCCUCCGUUCCUAAAUAUAUGUCCUUUUAGAAAUUUCAGUAUAGAUUACAUAGGAAACAAAAUGAGUGAAUCUAUACUUUACAUCCGUAUGUAAUCCAUAUUAAAAUCUCUAUAAAAGACAUAUGUGUGGGAACGGAGGGAGUAUAACGUAAGGGUGAAUCAAAAUCAAUUCUGAUAUCAAUAUAAGUAUCCCAAACCCAGGGCUCAGUUUCUCAAGGAGUCUGUAAUUCUGUUAGUCUUCAUAACAUGUGCACCAAUGCUAGCAGCCAUUUCAAAAUGAGUCCCGCUUCGGUACAACCCCCCUCCAAAACGUAUAAAGGACAAUAUAGUCUUUUCACGCAUCGUAUCCUUUUUCAUAAGCAUGUUCCGUUGCAUGCCGUAUGUAUGAGGAGCCCAUUUAUGUGCUAACACCCACAGGUUGGCCCAUUAAUAUUUUUUUUAAUAUUCAAAACAGAUGCGGGUAGUGUGAUUCGAACUCAUUACCACAUUGUAUUCAUACAGUGCACUAACCAAGUGGUAGAGCUGACGCUGGCGUACAGACUAGAACUUUUCUUAUUCUUAUGCUAUAAACAACUCGUGAAUAACCUAUGUACCCAUGCGUUCUACAAAUGUUUCUCGGCCGCAGCUGUGCCCUCAGACGUGACGUAAACAAGAAAGGCAACACCUUGUUUAAUUUUUUUUCCGGUUUUGUCUAGCCAUUUUUCUACUGUUUUUUUCUCGAUCUUCUUCUCUUUUUUCAUUUUCUUUUCCUUUCUAAAAUUCACGAAAUUUUUGUAAAAUCCAGAAAUUUUCAUAAAUUCAUGAACUGUGUUUUAAGUCCGUGUCUAAUUUCUUAAACUUGUGAACUUUUUCUGAAAUCACUGAUUUUUUGCAAAUACAUGAACGAUUUUCAGAUCCACGAACCUGUCUCAAUUUUUACAAACUUUUUCUAAAACCCAUGAUUUUUUUUCCAAAAACUCGUGCGAACAAUCUAUGUCCGAGCGAGAGGAAAGAUGAACGAGAAGGAAAUAGCCAUUUCCUCUGCUUGUCAUAAGCAUCGGUCUUCAAUGUACUCUUUGUUUAGGAUAUGAACUGCUACCAUGAAUAUUCACUAGUUUCGAACUAGGAAGGUUCAUACAAACAGUUCGUAUUCUUCAAAAUGAGAGCAUUGAUGACUGUUGUAUUGUUUUAAAAUUAACUUUUUUUGGUUCUUGUAUUAUUUGUCCUGUGACACAUUUUUUGUCACGUAGCAUUUUUUCACAUCCAUCAAGUGGAUCCAUUUAUUUCCCGUAGUAUUCUAUCAUCAUGGCAAGCAUCCAUGCCAAGUUUUAUUAUGUUUUGUUAUUCUAUGUAUUUUCUAGGGUUUUCUCAGUGGAAAGUCCCUAAAAUACUUACCGCGCGUGACGCAACGUAUGUUUACUGUCCGAAUUCAUUCAAUUUUUGCGUGGAGUACUAGGGUGACCAUAUUUAUUCAUAUUUAUCGCAAUGUUACAAAAUGUGCAGCAUAUUUAUUUAUUUAUUCAUAUUUUUCAAAAAGUUUGAAAAUAUCAAAAAAUGGUCGCAUUUUUAGAAAAAAAUCAGAUUUUUAAAAUUGUUUGUAUUUCCAAAUAUUAUUCUGAAUUUUAAAAAAAUCUUGGUUUUCAAAAUUUAUUCAGAGUUUAAACUCUGUUCUACUUUUCGGAAAAUUUGUAUGCAUGUUAAAAAAAUCAAUUUUGAAUUUCUUUUGCGUUCAAAAAAGUCACAUUCAAAAUUCUAAAAAAUUGUUCAGCUAUGUCGCUGUUAAUAGUCUUAAGAUACCGCGCUGCUCCUUUGUCAUUAUAGUUGGGUCAGUCUAGUGGUUGGCUCAUGUGCAAGGUCCUAUGUUCAAUACCUGACGCGUGCACAUUUUUUUAGGAUUUUCCAGUGUUUCAGAUAGACCGACUUGCUGUUGGGCCGGCCCAGGCUACUGUUUUUUUUUUGCAGGGAGCCCAGGCUACUGUUAGCCGCUGUUUAUUUUCGCGAGCUGUCUCAAAAAUAAACGUCGCUGACGUAUUUUUAAAAAAAGACCAUCAUACCCUUUAUUGUAAAGGGGUAUGAAGAAAUCUCCUCCGUUGAUGUGUUUAGGGGGGGUUGUACCGAAGCAGAAGUGUUUCAAAAUACACACAAACACUUAAACUUUUCCGGUUUUUAGUAAAUUUACUACAAGUGACAAAAAUGGUUGAUCGAACAACGGUAAAUAGGGAUUUUGAAUUGCUCGUUGCAAAAUAAAAAUCAAUGACCUCUUCGUACAUUGCUUAUCAUAGGAGUAGUAGAGUAGAGAAAACACAAACAAAAUUCAAAAUGAUUGAAAAGUUUUUGCAGCUUUUUUUGGGGGAGUGGGAUGGUGUUCGACUUUGGACAUUCGAUCUUUAGAAAACAAUGCUCCUUGUGUGCUAUUUUCUGUACGUCUCGGCGCUACUGUUUCAUUGGAAGCUGAACAUUUUUUAUGAAGGCCCAGCUGUACAUGUACUCAGAAUCAAUGCCCUCGGUAUCCUCGAUCCAAAGAAAAAUACUUAAAACAUGGGUACACUAUUGCAACACAUAGACCAAUUAAGAACCUUUAACUGCCGUUUGCAGAGAAACAAGAGUUCUUUUUUUCUUCUGUAAAAAGAAACAAAGUCCUUAAUUUUCUGUGAAUGUUGUUAGUAUUUCUGUUUUAACAACUAUUUCUAAUUAUUUUUUUGCACAUACACAAACUUCCUAACUCCAAGCAUGCAUACGUCGAAUAAAACCAGGUAUCUCAUUGUGAUGGAUGAUGUAUGGAGCCUACCAGCCUGGGAAGCUAUCUGGAACAUAUUUCCAAAGAGUAAUUGCGGCAGCAGAAUCACUGUGACAACUCGGAUAAAGGAAGUGGCUGUGGCAGCUAGUGCCGACUUUGUCCAUCACAUGGAGCCCCUAGAAAGAGAAGCAUCUGAGAAACUAUUUGUCAAAAGAGUGUUUAGCUCCACAAAGCUGGGUGAUUGCCCCACAGAACUUAAAGAAACCAUGGAUAUAAUUUUGAAAAAAUGUGGUGGGUUGCCGUUGGCCAUCGUUAGCAUCGCCAGCCUUCUGCCAAGCUCUACGUCAGCUGAGAGCAUAGAUAUGUGGAAACAAGUUUCUAGAUCAAUUGGUUCUGAUAUGGAAAGCAACCGUACCCUCGAGGGGAUGAGGCAGUUGAUUACACUCAGCUAUGACUACCUACCUCAUUAUCUGAAGGCUUGCAUGAUGUAUGUGAGCAUUUUCCCGGAGGAUUAUAUGAUUGCCAAGGAUAGACUGCUAUACAGAUGGAUUGCUGAGAGUAAAUGGCACUGGUGGUCUGAGAACUUGCGUUGCGGGUGCACUUAAGUCACGGUACUUGUAAACUGGAAAAACCCGUCAUAGAACUUGCAUUGCGGGUGCAGAUAGGUCACAUAUGCCAUCUAAACCGGCCAGCUGUCCUAUUUUCGAGAAAAAACCCGUCAUAGAACUUGCGUUGCGGGUGCAAAUAGGUCACAUUUCAAAAUUUUUGUUCCCGGACAUUUUUUCAAAGUCACGAAUCACAAAUAUUUUUAAUAAAUAUUUUUUAAUUUAUCGUCCGAGAACAAUUUUUUUAAAGUCAUGAAUCACAAACAUUUUUUUAAAUGUUCACCACUUAAAACAAAUGUUCGCAAAUCACAAAUAUUUUUCAAAUUUAUCAUUUGCAAACAUUUUUUAAAGUCGUGAACAAAUAUUUUUUUAAAGUCAAGAAUCAUAAAUAUUUUUGAAUUUGUCAUUCGCGAAAUUUUUUUAGAGUCGUGAAUCACAAUUUUUUUAAUGUUCACAGCUUUAAAAAAUGUUCAUGAAUCAAAAUAUUUUUCAAAUUUAUCGUUCUCGACCUUUUUUUAAUGCCGUGAAUAAAUACUUUUCAAAUUAAUCAUUCCUGAACAUUUUUAAAUUUAUCAUUCAAAAACAUUUUCAAAUUUUUCGUUCCUGGACAUUUUUUUAAAGUCACUAAUCACAAAUAUUUUUAAUUUAUCAUUCGCGAACAUUUUUUUAAAGUUGCGGAUCACAAAUAUAUUUUUUGAACCGUCCGCGAACAUUUUUUAAAGUCGUGAACAAAUAGUUUUCAAAUUUAUCGUUCACGAACAUUUUUUUAAAGUCACGAAUCACAUAUAUUUUUAAAGUCGUGAACAAAUUUAUCGCGCUUGACCGUUAGAAGGAGAAAACCGGGCAGCUAGCCGGUUCAGAUGACCUGUGUGACCUAUCUGCACCCCUAAUGCAAGUUCUAUGACGGGUUUUUCCGGUUUGCAAGUACGGUGACUUAAGUGCACCCGUAGCGCAAGUUCUCGGACCGCCGGUGCCAUUUACUCGAUUGCUGAAGGUCUGGUCACUGAGAAACGUGGCUUGACUUUGUUGGAGGUUGCAGAAGAAUACUUCAACGAGUUGAUAAGUAGGAAUAUGAUUCAACUAGACAAGUUUGUAUACCAGUUAAAAGAUUCUAGAGAAGUGGAGGUACAGGGGUGCCGGGUGCACGACAUGAUCCUUGAGGUCAUGGUGUCCAAAUCCCAUGAGUCUAACUUUGUUAGCUUGGUAGGGUGUGAAUUUGAAGGGAAGACAGAUGGACAUGGCAAGGUCCGCCGCCUCUCCAUCCAUGAUAACGACCAUGACGAGCAUCAUCAUUCAAGGCAUGGUGUUGAAGCGAUGAAGCUACAGCAUGUCCGGUCAUUGACCACAUUUCAACGUGUUGGCCUUGCCAAGCUGCUGGAUCGCCUAGGUGAGUUCAAAUUGCUGAGGGUACUUGACCUGGAAGAUUGCACAUCCAUGAGAAACAAACACAUGAGAGAUGUCUGCCGUCUGUAUCUUCUCAGGUUCUUGAGCUUGAGGGGUACAGGAGUCAAAAUAAUGCCUCGCAAAGUUGGCAAUCUAGAGCACUUGGAGACUCUUGAUGUACAACACUCUCAUCAAGAAGUUACCACAGACUGUGAUAAAGUUAAGCAAACUAGAGCGCCUAUGGGCCAAUAGUUGGAAUCUGCCUCGAGGGAUCUCGAAGAUGAAAGCAUUGCGUGAGGUGGACACAGGAGUCCUUGAUGUUCCAUCGGUUGCUCAAGAGAUUGGUAAGCUGACGCAGUUGCAGUUGCUCAGUAUUAUAAUCCAUGCGGAAGUCAGUGAUGGGUGUUUGACAAACCUUGCCUCCUCCCUGAGCAAGACAAGCAGUCUCCUAUUGCUAAAUCUGAAAUUCGAGGGGAGUGUGAGCCGUUUGAAGUUUCUCGAUGCCGUCUCCACGCCGCCGCCAUUUCUCCAAUGCCUUGGUGUGUUUGGCCGAGACAUUAGCCAAUUGCCCGACUGGAUCUCAUCACUCACACACCUCACAAGGAUUGAAGUGGGAAAGACAAAAGAACUUGAUGGGGACAAGUUACUUGAUGUCUUGUGUAAGGUGCCCAAACUGGCGAAUGUCCGUCUAAAAGACAUUGAGUGCAAAGACGGAGGAGAACUGGUUGCACGCCCCGAACACAAGUUCCUGGUGCUGAGGAUCCUGAAGGUGAUCGGAUGUUCGAGCAAGCUCACUUUCGAGAAAAGAUCAAUGCCAAUGCUGGAGACGCUCGUGUUACUUUUUUUUGACAAGAAGAUGAGCAUUGUUGGCCUCGAGAACUUGGACAACCUUAAAGAGGCCAGGCUCAGUGGUAUUAAAGACCACCCGGAAAUGGAACGUGCGGUGAAGCAGCUCAAGACUCACCCCAACUCCAAUCAGAUCAAAGUUGUAGUGGAGUGGUGGAUCUGAGGUGAGCAUCUUAGGGGGCUGCUGCUCCUGUUCGUUUUCUAUGGCCUUAAUCGGAGUGUCACUAGCAAAAAAAGAAAAAAAUUGUGUGUGUGUGUGUGUGUGUGUGUGUGUGUGUGUGUGUGUGUGUGUGUGUGUGUGUGUGUCACUAGCUAAAUUAUGUUCAGAGUUCAGACUCGACCGAGCAUUUAUUUGUACUGUGGUUUUUCACGUGUGUGAACUGGACCACUGGAGUGCCAAAUAAAGCAGCUUGUAUGUGUAACGUGAGCAUAAUUCUGCAAACUAUCUCAUCUUUUUUGUUGUUACCUGUGAAGAAGACGGGCUCCUAAGUGAGCUGUUGGUUUGGCCCAGACUAUGCCUUUUGUGGAUGACAUAUGCUGCCUAAGUUGCACUUCCUCCAUUUCUAAAUAUUUGUCUUUCUAAACAUUUUAAAUGGACUACAACAUACAGAUGUAUAUAGACAUAUUUUAGAGUAUAGAUUCACUCGUUUUACUUCGUACGUAGUCAUUUGUUGAAAUUUCUAUAAAUACAUAUAUUUGGGAACGAAGGGAGUAGCUGGUAAUGUGAGCGCUGACUCUCUCAGCUCCUUUUUCUCACGGCUGCAUGCUUCACAUAGCCAACUCAAGAACAAUGGAGUAACAUGUAUUUGACUAUCUCAGCUCCUUUCUUUACCACACCUAAGUACAACGCACGCACGCACACUUGCCCACUAACACAACCAACAAACUUGCACAUGCACGCACUUACCAAGGCCACUAACACACGCACAAGAAUUGACCACAUCUACUAUACUACAGACCUCUUCACAAGGCCACACGGAACUCCUGUUCAUCAGCUCCAACUUAUGCAGGUCGUUGGCUUCAGAGCUUCAUGCAUCACCGUCUCACACGGCAAGCUAGCUUCACGCCACAGCUUGGACUUUCUCCAUGCAUGCUCUCAGAACUAUAAAAGCAAGACCAGAAAAGAAAAAUGAGAAGCAGGAACAUCAUCUUGCCAAGAGACUGCUUGACCUGCACUGGGGCGGCAAACGUCCCACUAACAUAUAGAAUAACCAUAUACUCCAUAUAGAAUAACCAUAUGCUCGACAAGUAUAACACAAAUCAAUAAAAACUACUCCAUCCGAUCCAUAAUAAGUGUCGCAGUUUUGAACUAAGGUCGAACUAAUCUAAUUUCAAACUUGCGACACUUAUUUUGGAUCGGAGGGACUACUACAUAUGCAGCGACUAGUGAAAAAUCUCAGGACAAGUGUGUGUGCGGCUGCUAUGAAAGGAUGUCUUCAUUGAAAUGUUCAUUGCAGAUACUAGCCCCACCGAGACCUCUGCCGCCGCCGGCCGAAGCAGCAGAGGAGGUGGAGGCCGACGUGGUGGCGACGCCCCCUCUGCCGGCGGUUGCGGCGGACGCUGUUUGGGCUUUGGCAGCUAUGAAGAUACCUACCACCGGUCCAAGGAAGUCCAAUGCAAACGUAGUUGUAUCUGACGAAGGCAGUGACAAGGCUGAAGGUGAAAAAUUAUCUAAGUGGGCAAUCAAAAAGAAAAAAGCUGACUUCCUAUAGGUGCGGUGAGCCAGGACAGUUUGUGGCCGAAUGCACUAAGGAGUUGUGCGAUCGCUGUCUUAAAUCACAGCAUGUGACCGGUGAGUGUCCUUUGCUUUCUGGACCCAAACCGGCAGUCUCGAUAUACAGGGUGUCUUGCCAGGAGCUUAUGUUUUUUGUGUCACUGGAGGUGGCACCAUCGAUACAGGCACUGGAGGGAUCUUUCACAGGAGUGGUCAAGGUGACUACUGGUGUCAUGACUGAAGCAUAGAUUGUGCAGCAGCUGCGUGAGUUGGCAUCAGGUAACUUUCAGUGGAACCUUGUCAGGUUGGAGAAUCAGACAUACAAGGUAGAGUUUCCCACUAAGGACGAUCAAUUACAUAUCUUGAAAUUCGGCAUGUGCAGAGUUCCGAGUACUAGCAUCAUCUUGGAGUUUGACGAGUGGAAACAAAAAGAACCUCAGGGCACACCAUUGGAACACAUUUGGGUUCGUUUUUCGGGUGCUCCACCUAAGCCGCUUAAUAAUUUCUUAGUCACAUGGAGCUUGGGUUCCCUCAUUGGCAAGACUGAGAAGGUGGACAUGCCGUUUACUCGUGCCCAUGCAUGGGGUUGCGAGAUUACUUGCUAGUGUGGUAAGUAUUGAGUUUGUGCCGGAUGUGGUCAAGUGGACACAUGCCGGGGUCACAUAUGAGUUAGAGAUUGAGAUUGACGAUACGGUGACACACGAGGAGACUGGUGAGCAUCAGGUUAUGGACACUACUGAGGGGGGUGGACCCUCGGGGAUCAGAACAAGGGGACUGAGGACAAAUCUUGGGACAUGGCCAAGAGGCCUAAUCCGCAGACUGAUAAGGCAGAUAAUUCUGCCAAGGGCGCGUCAUCCUCCACGACACCGAUGAAUGCAGUUCAUUUUGGUUCUUUUGUUUCAUAUUCGGCUCCCAGUCAUCUUUGGAGCAACAGAGUGGAGCUGGACGAUCCAACAGAGCUUGAGUUACCGCCGCUAUUGCCUCUUGAUUGUGGGUCACGGACGCAUCGCACUCCGCCUAGGGUGAUUUCCGGGCCGGAGAGAUUUACGCCGCGGGCGACUGCUGUUAUGGAUACUGUUGCGCAGGACGCCCUCGUCUGUGACUACCCUGCGGUGGGCACUCGGGGGCCCAGCCCGAUGGUGCCCGCGGCGACAGGUGUUCGGGGCGCCGGGGCCGGUGCCGAGGUUGGGGUGGGGUGUGGGCAGGCGGCUCCUACUCCCCCCAUAGUGGUCACCUGGGACACCGCCUCGAUGGAGAGGAUGAGCGCGCCGACCCUCCAUGCCGGCGAUGCUCCGAGUACUGGGACAGGUGUCCGUGGCGGCUCGCGUGCAGAAAGAAGCCGGUCAGCGCAUCGUGGCGAUGGGCAGCGGUGCAUGCAGGCAUGCUCAGCUACGUGCAUUCAUAGCAGGCUGGCUAGACAUGUCGUGCAUGCAUAGCAGGCUUCUGUCGUUGCGGAGCGCGCAGGGCCCAAUAGUCUAACCAUGGCCCAAUGGGCGAACAGCGGCACCUUCCGAUGCGGCCCCAAUUUUCAGGUCCAACGGGCGACAUAGUCUAGCACGGCCCCACUUGUCAGAGUUAACGGUCAAAGGACUGACCCAACGGCUUCCACCGUUUGCGACCAUUUCUGAAGGUUACAGACAAGAGAGUGGAGAAAAUGAGCAAAUGUUAAGAGCGUGGAGAUGAAUGAGUAUGGCUAAGGAACCAGGGGCACAGAUGUAAAAAUCCCUUAAAAAUAUAGAUUGAAGUAUUUGAGUGGACCAUACAUUUUUCAAUUUCUCAGGUUUCCAAAUUUUCUCAAUUGCUGGUUGAAACCAAAAGGAUGAUAAAACUUUUCUUUUUCUUGAUAUAUCAUCUUGAUCAGUUCACGUUGAUCCUUCCGAUGGCUCAAUUUUUGUGUCAAUGAGUACUAUCAAGAUGGAUUUAAUUGUGUGCCAAAAUGGGCAAGAGAAAUUCAUAAAUAUGGGUGAUGCCAAAUAUUAUUGAUUAGAGUGUUUCCAAGCACAAAAGAUGUUAAUGUACCUAAAAAACAAGUGUAAAUUCUUAGUGGUCAACCUAAUGCAGACAUUUUCCUAUGUUGGAGUUGAUAAAAGACAUCCCUAAUUAUGCCUGAAAAUUCCAAGUAACUGAACAUUAGUGAUCUCCAUGAUUCUGUCAUAGAUUAUCUAAACCAACUAGGGUAAUAUGGAUAUUUACUUUCCAGUUAUUAUUCAUUCCAAAAAUACAAAGAUACGAAAAUACUUAUUACCACUUUAUUAAUUAAUAUAUUGUACAAUUAGCAAAGCUAGUAAGGUUGACACCCCUGUUGCAAUUGUUGGGGGUCACAAAUAAUGUUUUGUUAGUAUUGCGGAAUUAAUUAUUGGUGUAGAAAACUUCUACAUCCUCAAAUACUUAGCUCUCAUUGGAAACUUAUUUCUUGUUACAAACCUCUGCACUUGAGGGCCCCAAUUCCUUACAUCCUAAUAAGACAUCAUUCGGUUGUAAGAAUCCCAACCCUUCCAUAUACUCUAGAUUUUUCUAUUUGCAUCCAUGUCUAAGUAUAUAUCACUAUAAUGAUAUUUCUUAUACCCAUCACCGUUAGAGUGUCUACUAAUUUCCUUUUGAGAUGUCAACUAAUAUAUUUAAGAAUAUGCAAAACAAAUAUGCAGUAUAUUUAUGGAAGUGUCACAAAUUAUUCAAGAAGCAUGUGAUUUGUCAUUUCUUUUUACAUUUGGAUUUAGGUAAUUAUGUUUUAAGAUUCAAUAUAUCAAAAUAUAUAACAUUGAAAAUAGAUUUGAAAUUAUCACGAUUCAAUAUUUGCGAUUUAACACAAAUAAUUAUAAACAAGUAUUAAAGUUUAGUAUAUAUGAAUUUCAAAAGACUGCAUGUAUGUGUCCGCCGGGCGACAGCAUAUCUGCCCGCUAGGUUUCAAAUGCAUAUUGUUUGCACAAGUUGUCAAGUGUCAUGUAUGAGAGGAGUGAAGUUGGCAAUGAAUCAAGCUAAUACUUCCAAUCAAAUAACCAACUUAUAGCUUAAUAUCAAAGUAGCAGCAAAAAAAAUAGGAGGCCCAAUUUAGCUACAUCCCAAACAGGAAUAGCACUGCUCCCUUGGUAGUUCAGCAAUCAGUAACAUUACAAAAAACAGGAAUAGCACUGCCAAAAGCAUUGAAAGCAUGCGCAGAAUUUUGUGGACACCGCCGCCAGUAGUUCUGAAAGGGAACUCUUCAUCAAAACGACUAAUGAAGUGUUCUGGAACACAAUAAGUGUUAGCCACACUUAAUACAGGUUCCUCGCUAGAGCACGCAAUCAUUAUUCUGUUCAUCAUCUCAGUCAGUUGAGCUACUGCAUAUGCCACACAUUCACCUGCACAAAAACAGAACAAGAAUGACUAGGUUAUACACAACAUAAGAGCAUUUACAAUAAAAGAAAUCACUUACAUAUAUUACUAGAUGAUUUAUAGGCAUUCGUAACAAAUAUUAAAAUAUAAAACUAGCACAUUACUACAAACAAGAAUUAGGACAAUGAAGAGUUAAUCAGCACAAAAUUGGUCAGGAGGAAGAACGAAAACUACCAUAGGCAGAACAAAUGUUGUACGACAGAUUUGAAAUGCACAAAAGAACUUACCAGGGUCGCCUACUUUGAUUUUCUGUUCUUUGACUUCACCCACAAUCGAAAUUCCAUUCAUCAAGACAGUUGCAAGGUUUAAACUAAAGUUAUUUGGGUUCUACAAGAAACAAGUUAUAAGUUUCAUUCGAGAGAAACAAAGUAACAAAAGAAAAAUAGAUGAAGGAACAAAUUCAUACCAUAGAUUAACAGCCAACACAGUACAAUGGUGGGAAAUCAAACACAAGGAAUCUUAUAGUUUUCAUCUUCUGAUGGCAAUGAGGACACUCCCAGCUUGGGACAUCACAUUCACUUCUAGUGCCAAAAACGAUUUCGACUCCAUUAAUUAUCUGGGGUUCCAUAGGACCUUGCAUGAGAUCUGCAAGAAAAAAAAUCAGAUGUACGAAAGUUAUAAUCUCGAGACUGGGUCAGAUGUACAAUUUGGGAGGAGAAGAGAUUAGAACCGCCGAUGGAUAACACCAUCUACCCUGGUUCGGGAUAAAAACUUGCAUGUAGAAAAAUAAAGAAACACAGCACCCCCCACCCUUUGUCUAAGAUGAGGGUUCGGUGACUGGAUUAUCUAGCGAAUCCGGAAAAUAAAGUUCCAAAUCAUCAACGCAAAAUCUACCAAAUCAAGACUCUUUUCGAUUCUUCUAAAGUAGAGUUGCAGAAGAUCCAAGGGGACAGAUCUAAAUUAGAGUAGGAUCCAAGAGGUCAGGUAUACCAAACUUGGGUAUUGAUUCUAGACUAUAGUUACAGAUAAGGAUUCAGAUCUACGAUUUGGGAACCGUAUCUACUCUAAACUAUUUAGGCCAACUCCACCGCGUGACUCCAAACGGACGUCCGUUUUGUCCGGUUUCUGUCCGUUUGGGUAGGGAUUUGGGGUCGUGUCCGGGCCUGUUCUGGGAUGCGGUGGCCGUGCGCCCACCGCGCGGACGCAUCCCGGCCGCAUCCUGUCCGCGUAUUAUUUCUUUGCAAGUCUUUAACUUUAUUUCAUCAUUCAUUUUUGGUACAUGGAAAAUGCAUCAUCACAUUUUAACUAGUAAAACAAGACCAAAGAAAAUAAAAACAACAAGAAUACAUUUUAGAAGAUAGCCAACUUCCAUAACUGCCCCCUUGAGUUGGGUUAGGGCCUUCUCGAUGCACUCAUUGCUGAUCUGUGGAGGAGGCUCGAUCUGGCAUCCUCCUUUUUUCUUCAAACCAGAAGUAGAUGUUGCUUCCUCAGACCUAGUCUCGUGUCUAGCCUCUAAUCUAGCAACAAGUGCACUUGUCUCAUUUACGGCCUCUAUGCUAGCUAAAAGUGCACGAACAUGUACUAAAUUUCUCUCUAUCAAUAUAUCGAUGUACUCUUCUUCCCAAUACCAAAACUUGCAUCCAUUCUACACAACAAAAUUUGAAGUUAGCACAACUAGUUAAAUCUAGAGCACAAACCGAUGCUAAAAAAAGCGCAUACCCCAUCGUUUAAGCACUUGAUGAACACCCAUCCGGGAUGUUCCGGCGUUGUAGACAUGCGGCGCACGACCAUCCUUGGGCAAUGGUCGCACUUAAUGAGUGGCAACGGUGCGCCGGUGAGCUUUUGGGCAAGCACCGAGCCCGGUCGGCCGCCAUUCGUGUAUCUGCCGGCGGACCACCGACGGUGCAGAUCCGAGCGGCUAGAGGAGGAGCCACUACCUGCAUGUGGCCUUGCGGCCCUGCCAGGGCCUUCCGGCGAGGUGCCCGGCCAGUCCAUGGCGCGGCCCGGCCUCCCUUAGCCGGCCGAGCUCAAGACCGACCGGAUCCGCCCCAAAACCGGCCGGCGGGUGCGCAAACCAGGUGGCCGUGGUCGCGUCCGAGCCCGGCGCCGAGGGGAAGGGAUUGGGCGAGCUCGUGUCCGAACUGCACGGCUGCAAUGGCAGCGGCGGCGGCAGCGACGGGAAAGAGUGGGGAAGAGUGGAGGGGGUGCGGCCGGAGGGAGGGAGGGGGGCGGAUAGAAAAAGGCCCAUCUUGUGCCACCGACGGGCGGGCCAGGGGAGGAUACGCGCAGACGACCCGCGUGUCCGCGCAGUGUCCGUUUCACCCCAAAACCAGCGCAAGUUUGGGCCGGGGAUGGGUCGAAAGCGGACACAAAGCAGACAAAUGUCCGUUUGCUCCCGCGCGCUGGGCCGCCUUUUUUUGUCUCUUUUACCCCAAACGGACGGGGCCGGACAGGAUAGGGUCGCGCGGUGGAGUUGGCCUUAGAGAUCACGGAUUCAGAUGUACGACUUGAGAACCAGGGGGAGGGGAUAGAAUGGGAUAAAAACCUCCAGUGGAACAAACAGCCCACGGCUCCGGGGGGCAGCGGGGGGCGGCUGAAGCUGCUGGAGCGGUGGAGGGAGAGAAGCCGUCGUGGGGGGUAUUUAUCUGCGUUAUGAUGAUGCGGGGCGGGCCUGGACAGCCGUUGGAUCUAGGGCAAAAUGGGCGGAUGCGGUGGCGUAUUCAGAGUAUGGGGCGUGGACGGCGGGCGUGCAGCGGGGUUACAAUCGAUCCUUUCACAACUCUCAUUUUCAUGGUGAGUCGAGUAAAUAAAAUACAAGAGUAUAUUUAUAAUAUUAAAGGACGGUAGAUUUCAUAGUUCUCCAUACAUCAUCCUGUUUAUAUCCGUUAAUUUUGUUUUAACUAUGAAGAUUGACGAUUGAGAUUUUCCAAAAUAAACGAAGGGUUAUGAGGUGUCUUCAGGUCGCAUCGCUGGUUCUGUCCGCUUGUCCAACACGUAACCAACACCGUAAAGCUAAUCCCCUUUGAUUUUCUCCUCCCAAAUCCCCAUGCCAGAUCCUUUUCAAAAAAAAAAAUCCCUUUGCCAGAUUUCUUCUCAAAUUGAAAAACAUGAGGUCAGCAAGAUGUAGCCAUUGGAGGGAGAGCGUAAGCAGAGGACGAGCCAGCCGGCUCGAGGUUCUCCGACGGCGAGUUUGACCACUUCCCUGGGAUGACGCAUGGCUUACCAUGACGAUCGGCGUAGGCGGGCACCUCAGCGGCUGCGGCUUCGGCCUGAUACUGCGGAAGCAUGGCCUCACCGCGGAUCACGUCGUCGAUGCCUUCAUGGUGGAUGCCAAUCCACCACGGGGAGUGUCGUGGUAUUUUCACGGCAGAUGUCCUCUUAGGACUUAGUCACGAGGCCAUCAGCGUCGAGUGGUACAUCAAAGGGGUUAAACGAGAGACACAAUGAUUACCUAGAUUCGGCCACUCUCGGUGGAGGUAAAAGCCUACUUCUGCUUGGAUUGCAUUGAUGAUCUCGAUUACAAGGCUUUCGCGUGGCUAACCUAGCAAUCGAGGGGUUCUAACUUGAUCUUUCUGACCCUGGGGCUCCCCUUUAUAUAUAGGGUGAGACAAGGGGCGUACAUUAGAGUUCGGGCCGGAAACAUGAUCCGUGCCCAAGUCUUUCUUGUCCUCUAAGGAAUAAUACAAUGGCGGUUCGCAAGUAGGCUUCUGUCGGCACGUCAUGGGCCGGCCCAUCCAGCGGGCGGCUUAUCCUUCUAGGCGAGUCUCCUGGAGGUCUUCGGCCCACCUGGCCUGGUCCAUCUUGUAAGUCGCCAUCAGCAUUGACCCGGCCCUAAACGGGCGGGUUAUAUCCUGUGAUUAUAUCCCCAACAUUAGCCCUCAGGUUGACUUGGAUUCAUUCAUGACAACCUUCGAAACCAUUGUCCUAUGCAGCUCGGCAAGCAAAAUCAAGGUGACUUCACUCGGCUUCUGUAAGUGAAUUGGUGCUUGUAGCUUGUAGUUAUGCUUGGUUUCCCUUAAUGAAAAUCAGAGGACACUUUCAUGGAAUGGUGGGACAAGGCUCGGAAGUCCUUUCAUGGUAAGCUCAAGAGAGGGUUUGACUCGUUUGUCAUCUUGACCGCGUGGCAUCUAUGAAAGCAAAGAAACGCAAGAGUGUUCAACAGGAUCGAUCAAGCGCGCACGGACACUAACCUUGUCUAGCUCAUCCAUGAGGAGAUCAAGCUUUGGAAGAAGGCGGGUAUAGGAGUUGAGGGCUUAGAUAGAUUUGUGAGAGAGUACUCUUUUGUGUCUUCUUUCGGAGUUGGAGUUCUGUGUAUCCCGUCUUAGCACGGGUUCUUGUAAAACAUUCUUUCUUCCUUCUAUAAAAAUACGGUACGCUUUUGGCGUACUCUCAAAAAAAAAUCAGAAGAGAAAUCCCUUUUUUUCUUUAAAACAGAUGAGUUCAUUCGUGCAAGGACGAGAACCGCCUUCAGGAGUGUUAGAGCAUCGACAACUGGCCUCCUCGAAUCCUUCCUUAAACGUCUACAGAAGUGUCGGAUCAUGAAAGAAAAGGAAAAAAGUGAUUUAAUCGAACCUCUCUAUCAUUUUUAUACAUUCGGGCUAUCCACGGACCCUCGUACCGAGACCAAAAUGUAGGUAGUACAUGAGGGCUCGCGGGCGCCUGGUCUGUUCACCACAUAAGACGCGAACUAUUCUUUCUUUUCUUUUCACUCUCUUCAUCUCAUCAAUCACAUGCAAGUGAUCGAACGAGAAAAUAUAAGCGUGACAAAGCGUUAGUACUACGGUGUACGGGAGAGGUAGAUCGGACAGGGGUACCCAUCGGACAGUGGGCGCCACUGGAACGUGGUGCCACCGAGUGCGAGUAGUAGAGCAUGUGCCAUUUUAAACUUGUUGUAUGCAGAAACAGAUUGAAUAAAGCAUGAUUAUAAGUCACCGACGUUUAUUAACCAGGCCUGGCUUUCGACUAUAAGUUGCCAGUAUGAUGAUAAAGUAUCUAGUAUUUAUUAACCCGGACUGGCCUGGUUUUGAUUAUAAGUCUCCAGUAUAUAUUUGGAUUGCGCCAUUGGAAUCAUGCGCUCAUAAAUCAUUGGAUUAUAUUAUUAAAAUCUUCAAAUAGCCAACAUGGCUGGAUUUUAUUAUGGUUAUCAGUAACCAGUGUUAUAAUUAAGGUUUUUAAAGUCGCUUUAGCGCAAUGUCUAUUAUGUUAUCAAUGGAUAUGAUUUAUUCUACAAUCGAAGGAAUAGUUCCGAGUCGCUGCAGGCUGACGACCAGGCAUUUGGGGGCUACAUUAUUCAAAUUGAGAUUACAUCAAAUAUUCAAGUCCCAUGUCACUGCCAGCAUGCACCAUGGCACUUGGGGGCUAAUGCAAAAUUAUUGUUUGCUCACCUUAUUGAAGACCCGACUCAUCACAUUGUAAUGAGCCGGCCCUUGGGAGCUACCAAUUGCUCUUGUUAACAAUUCAAGGUACACAAGUCUUAAACCAUUAUAUUGAAGUAUCCACUGCUAAGUUGGUAAAGCACAAAGCUCUUAACCUUGUGGACGUGGGUUCAAGCCCCAUGAUGGGAGUUGCAUCAUAUGACAUUCUUUUCAAAGAAGUAUAUAUAAAGUCCCAGCUCAGUAUUAUCUUACUAAGCCGGCCCUUGGGGGCUACAUGUUGCUGCUCCAGUUUACAAGAUUAUAUCUACAAAGUCUCUGUUCACAUAAUGACCCGACACUUAGGGGCUAAUGCAUAUUGCUUUUUUCUGAGGACAAUUCUAUGAUGACCCGGCUACACUAUUAUGACUAUAGCCGAUUCAUGGGGGCUACACAGAAGGAUUUUAUUUAAAGCCAUGGUGAUAAGUCCUGAAUUAUUCAUGCGGAUUAAACCGACCCUUGGGGGCUACAGGUGAUAUGAAUAUAAUGGAGGAACAUCUUCAAGUUCUCAGUUCUUGGAUAUCAUAUUUUCAGUUCUGGCUUGGAUAGCUCAGGAAAAUCAACUACAUAAUCCGGUGUGAGCAACAAUCAUGACCCGGCAUCAUUUGUUUAUAAUCCGGAGAUCUUGGCAAUCAUAAACCGGCAAGUCCUACAUCUUCAAGCCGGCUGAAAAUCAAGAUGAGUAUUUCAAAACCAAUAUUUUUGUCAAGCUGGAGUUUUGGAAGCCGAUUCAAAUGGAUUAUUUCUUAUAAUACUUCUCUACAAGAGACCAAUAUCAGUAAAUGGAUUAUGAAACUGGCUUAUUAACCCGGAUUUUCUAGAAGAAAGAAAUGACAAGGAUUUAAGGAUGAUCAAGAGCCGGUUUACAAGAAUUCUUAACCCGGAGCACAAUCUGUCAAAUUUGUUCUUGUUGGGGAACAUAGCAGAAAUUCAAAAUUUUCCUACGUGUCACCAAGAUCUAUCUAUGGAGAGACCAGCAACGAGGGGAAGGAGAGUUGCAUCUACGUACCCUUGUAGAUCGCUAAGCGGAAGCGUUCAAGUGAACGGGGUUGAUGGAGUCGUACUCGUCGUGAUCCAAAUCACCGAUGACCAAGUGCCGAACGGACGGCACCUCCGCGUUCAACACACGUACAGCCCGGUGACGUCUCCCACGCCUUGAUCCAGCAAGGAGAGAGGGAGAGGUUGAGGAAGACUUCAUCCAACAGCAGCACAACGGCGUGGUGGUGGUGGAAGAGCGUGGCUAUCCUGCAGGGCUUCGCCAAGCACCACAGAAGAGGAGGAAGAGAGAGAUGCAGGGCUGCACCAACGAGAGAUUGAAUCGCGUGUUGUGGGCAGCCCCCUAGGCCUCAUAUAUAUAGGGGAAGGGGAGGGCUGCGCCCCUUCUAGGGUUUCCCACCCCUAAGGGGGGGCGGCAGCCCUAGAUGGCCAAGGGGUGGCGGCCAAGGGAGGGGAGAAGGGGGAGGCGCCCCUAGGGUGGGCCUUAAGGCCCAUCUGGACCUAGGGUUUGCCUCCUCCGACUUCCCCUGCGCCUUGGGCCUUUGUGGGAGGCGCACCAGCCCACUAAGGGGCUGGUCCCUCACCACUCUUGGCCCACGCAACCUUCUGGGGUUGGUGGCCCCACUUGGUGGACCCCCGGGACCCUCCCGGUGGUCCCGGUACGUUACCGAUAAACCCCAAAACUCUUCCGGUGACCAAAACAAGACUUCCCAUAUAUAAAUCUUUACCUCCGGACCAUUCCGGAACUCCUCGUGACGUCCGGGAUCUCAUCCGGGACUCCGAACAACAUUCGGUAACCACAUACAAACUUCCUUUAUAACCCUAGCGUCAUCGAACCUUAAGUGUGUAAACCCUACGGGUUCGGGAGACAUGCAGACAUGACCGAGACGUUCUCCGGUCAAUAACCAACAGCGGGAUCUGGAUACCCAUGUUGGCUCCCACAUGUUCCACGAUGAUCUCAUCAGAUGAACCAUGAUGUCAAGGACUUAAUCAAUCCCGUAUACAAUUCCCUUUGUCUAUCGGUACGAUACUUGCCCGAGAUUCGAUCGUCGGUAUCCCGAUACCUUGUUCAAUCUCGUUACCGGCAAGUCUCUUUACUCGUUCCGUAACACAUCAUCCCGUGAUCAACUCCUUGGUCACAUUGUGCACAUUAUGAUGAUGUCCUACCAAGUGGGCCCAGAGAUACCUCUCCGUCACACGGAGUGACAAAUCCCAGUCUCGAUUCGUGCCAACCCAACAGACACUUUCAGAGAUACCCGUAGUGUACCUUUAUAGCCACCCAGUUACGUUGUGACGUUUGGCACACCCAAAGUAUUCCUACGGUAUCCGGGAGUUGCACAAUCUCAUGGUCUAAGGAAAUGAUACUUGCCAUAAGAAAAGCUUUAGCAUACGAACUACACGAUCUAGUGCUAUGCUUAGGAUUGGGUCUUGUCCAUCACAUCAUUCUCCUAAUGAUGUGAUCCCGUUAUCAACGACAUCCAAUGUCCAUGGUCAGGAAACCGUAACCAUCUAUUGAUCAACGAGCUAGUCAACUAGAGUCUUACUAGGGACAUGGUGUUGUCUAUGUAUCCACACAUGUAUCUGAGUUUCCUAUCAAUACAAUUCUAGCAUGGAUAAUAAACGAUUAUCAUGAACAAGGAAAUAUAAUAAUAAUAAAUUUAUUAUUGCCUCUAGGGCAUAUUUCCAACAGUCUCCCACUUGCACUAGAGUCAAUAAUCUAGUUCACAUCUCCAUGUAAUUAACACUCACAGGUCACAUCGCCAUGUGACUAACACUCAAGAGUUUACUAGAGUCAGUAGUCUAGCUCACAUCACUAUGUGAUUAACACUCAAUGAGUUCUAGGUUUGAUCAUGUUGCUUGUGAGAGAGGUUUUAGUCAACGGGUUUGAACCUUUCAGAUCCGUAUGUGCUUUACAAAUCUCUAUGUCAUCUCCUAGAUGUAGCUACCACGUUCUAUUUGGAGCUAUUCCAAAUAACUGUUCUACUAGGAGCUAUUCUAAAUUGUUGCUCCAUUAUACGUAUCUGGUAUCUCUACUCAGAGCUAUCCGGAUAGGUGUUAAGCUUGCAUCGACGUAACCCUUUACGACGAACUCUUUUUACCACCUCCAUAAUCGAGAAAAUUCCUUAGUCCACUAGUUACUAAGGAUAACAUUGACCGCUGUCCUGUGAUCCAUUCUUGGAUCACUCUUGUACCCCUUGACUGACUCAUGGCAAGGCACACUUUAGGUGCGGUACACAGCAUAGCAUACUGUAGAGCCUAUGACUUAAGCAUAGGGGACGACCUUCGUCCUUUCUCUCUAUUCUACCGUGGUCGAGCUUUAACUUCAUACCUUACAACUCAGGCAAGAACUCCUUCUUUGACUGAUCCAUCUUGAACACCUUCAAGAUCAUGGCAAGGAAUGUGCUCAUUUGAAAGUACCAUUAAGCGUUUUGAUCUAUCCUUAUAGAUCUCGAUGCUCAAUGUUCAAGUAGCUUAAUCCAGGCUUUCCAUUGAAAAACACUUUCAAAUAACCCUAUAUGCUUUCCAGAAAUUCUACAUCAUUUCUGAUCCAUAAUAUGUCAACAACAUAUACUCAUCAGAAAUUCUAUAGUGCUCCCACUCACUUCCUUGGAAAUACAAGUUUCUCAUAACCUUUGUAUAAAACCAAAAUCUUUGAUCAUCAUCAAAGCAUACAUUCCAACUCUGAGAUGCUUACUCCAGUCCUUAGAAGGAUUGCUGGAGCUUUGCAUACUUAUUAGCAUCUUUCAGGAUUGACAAAACCUUCCGGUUGUAUCACAUACAACCUUUCCUCAAAAAUCAUCGAGGAAACAAUGUUUUGACAUCCUAUCUGCAAGAUUUCAUAAACAAUGCAGUGACUGCUAAUAUAAUUCCAACAGACUCUUAGCAUCGCUACGAGUGAGAAAGUCUCAUCGUAGUCAACUCCUUGAACUUGUCGGGAAACUUCUAACGACAAGUCGAGCUUUCUUAAUGGUGACAUUUACCAUCAUUGUCCAUCUUCCUUUUAAAAUCCAUCUAUACUCAACAGCCUCACAGCCAUCGAGCUGUUCUGUCAAAGUCUACACUUUGUUUCCAUACAUGGAUCCUCUCUCGGAUUUUAUGGCCUCGAGCCAUUUAUCGGAAUCCGGGCCCACCAUCGCUUCUCCAUAGCUCGUAGGUCCAUUGUUGUCUAGCAACAUGACUUCCAAGACAGGAUUAUGUACCAUUCUGAAGUAGUACGCAUCCUUGUCAUCCGACGAGGUUUGGGAGUGACUUGAUCCGAUCAUCAAGUCUCCACCAUCCUCCCACUCAAUUCUUUCGAGAGAAACUUUUCCUCGAGAAAGGACCCGAUUCUAGAAACAAUCCCUUAUUGCUUUCGGAUCUGAGACAGAAGGUAUACCCAACUGUUUUGGGUGUCCUAUGAAGAUGCAUUUAUCCGCUUUGGGUUCGAGCUUAUCAGCCUGAAACUUUUUCACAUAAGCAUCGCGGCCCCAAACCUUUAAGAAAUGACAGCUUAGGUUUCUCUAAACCAUAGUUCAUACGGUGUCAUCUCAUCGGAAUUACGUGGUGCCCUAUUUAAAGUGAAUGUGGUUAUCUCUAAUGCCUAACCCAUAAACUAUUGUGGUAAUUCGAUAAGAGACAUCAUGGUAUGCAUCAUAUCCAAUAGGGUGCAGUUAUGAUGUUCGGACACACCAUCACACUAUGGUGUUCCAGGCUGUAUCGGUUGUGAAACAAUUUCCACAAUGUCUUAAUUUUGUGCCAAACUUGUAAUUCAGAUAUUCAUCUCUAUGAUCAUAUCAUAGAUAUUUUAUCCUCUUGUCACAACGAUCUUUCAACUUCACCCUGAAAUUACUUGAACCUUUCAAUAAUUCAGACUCGUGAUUCAUCAAGUAAAUAUUCUCAACAUCUACUCAAAUCAUCUAUUUAGUAAAAACAUAACGAUAUCCACUACACGCCUCAGCACUCAUUGGACUGCACACAUCAAAAUGUAUUACUUCCAGCAAGUUGCUUUCUAGUUCCAUUUUACUGAAACCGAGGCUUUCAGUCAUCUUGCCCAUGUGGUAUGAUUUGCAUGUCUCAAGUGAUUCAAAAUCAAGUGAGUCCAAACGAUCCAUCAACAUGGAGCUUCUUCAUGCGUUUUAUACCGAUAUGACUUACGUGGCAGUGCCACAAGUAGGUGGUACUAUCUUUUGGCAUGAACAUGUGUAUCACUACGAUCGAGAUUCAAUAAACCAUUCAUUUUAGGUGUAAGACCAUUGAAGGUAUUAUUCAAAUAAACAGAGUAACUAUUAUUCUCCUUAAAUGAAUAACCGUAUUGCAAUAGACAUAAUCCAAUCAUGUCUAUGCUCAACGCAAACACCAAUCUCAAUGGUAGAGGGAGCGUACGAUGCUUGAUCAUAUCAACAUUGGAAACACUUCCAACACAUGUCGUCAGCUCACCUUUAGCUAGUCUCCGUUUAUUCCGUAGCUUUUAUUUCGAGUUACUAACACUUAGCAACCGAACCGGUAUCUAAUACCCUGGUGCUACUAGGAGUACCAGUAAAGUACACAUCAACACAAUGUAUAUCUAAUAUACUUCUAUCGACCUUGCCAGCCUUCUAAUCUACCAAGUAUCUAGGGUAAUUCCGCUCCAGUGGCUGUUCCCCUUAUUACAGAAGCACUUAGUCUCGGGUUUGGGUUCAACCUUGGGUUUCUUCACUAGAGCAGCAGCUGAAUUGCCGUUUCAUGAAGUAUCCCUUCUUGCCCUUGCCCUUCUUGAAACUAGUGGUUUCACUAACCAUCAACAAUUGAUGCUCCUUCUUGAUUUCUACUUUGUGGUGUCAAACAUCGCGAAUAACUCAAGGAUCAUCAUAUAUGUCCCUGAUAUAUUAUAGUUCAUCACGAAGCUCUAGCAGCUUGGUGGUAAUGACUUCGGAGAAAUAUCACUAUCUCAUCUGGAAGAUCAACUCCCACUCGAUUCAAAUGAUCGUUGUACUCAGACAAUCUGAGCACAAGCUCAACAAUUGAGCUUUUCUCCCUUAGUAUGUAGGCUAAGAAAAUCGUCGGAGGUCUUAUACCUCUUGACGUGGGCACGAGCCUGAAAUCCCAAUUUCAGCCCUCGAAACAUCUCAUAUGUUUCGCGACGUUUCAAAAUGUCUUUGGUGCCUCAAUUCUAAACCGUUUAACUGAACUAUCACGUAGUUAUCAAAAUGUGUAUGUCAGAUGUUCGCAACAUCCACAGACAACGUUCGAGGUUCAGCACACUGAGCGGUGCAUUAAGGACAUAAGCCUUCUAUGAAGCAAUGAGGACAAUCCUCAGUUUACGGACCUAGUCCGCAUAAUUGCUACUAUCAUCUUUCAACUAAUUUUUCUCUAGGAACAUACCUAAACAGUAGAACUAAAGCGUGAGCUACGACAUAAUUUGUAAAAUCCUUUUGACUAUGUUCAGGAUAAUUAAGUUCAUCUUAUGAACUCCCACUCAGAUAGACAUCCCUCUAGUCAUCUAAGUGAUUACAUGAUCCGAGUCAACUAGCCCGUGUCCGAUCAUCACGUGAGACAGACUAGUCAACGUCGGUGAACAUCUUCAUGUUGAUCGUAUCUUCUAUAUGACUCAUGCUCGACCUUUCGGUCUUCUGUGUUCCGAGGCCAUGUCUGUACAUGCUAGGCUCGUCAAGUUAACCCUAAGUGUUUUGCGUGUGUAAAUCUGUCUUACACCCGUUGUAUGUGAACGUUAGAAUCUAACACCCGAUCAUCACGUGGUGCUUCGAAACACGAACUGUCGCAACGGUGCACAGUUAGGGGAGAACACUUCUUGAAAUUGUUGUAAGGGAUCAUCUUAUUUACUACCGUCGUUCUAAGCAAAUAAGAUGUAUAAACAUGAUAAACAUCACAUGCAAUCAAAUAGUGACAUGAUAUGGCCAUCAUCACUUUGCUCCUUUUGAUCUCCAUCUUCGGGGCUCCAUGAUCAUCAUCAUCACCGGCAUGACACCAUGAUCUCCAUCAUCAUGAUCUCCAUCAUCGUGUCUUCAUGAAGUUGCCUCGCCAACUAUUACUUCUAAUACUAUGGCUAACGGUUAGCAAUAAAGUAAAGUAAUUACAUGACAUUUAAGUUGACACGCAGGUCAUAAAUAAAUAAAGACAACUCCUAUGGCUCCUGCCGGUUGUCAUACUCAUCGACAUGCAAGUCGUGAUUCCUAUUACAAGAACAUGAUCAAUCUCAUACAUCACAUAUAUCAUUCAUCACAUCCUUUGGCCAUAUCACAUCACAUAGCAUACCCUGCAAAAACAAGUUAGACGUCCUCUAAUUGUUGUUUGCAUGUUUUACGUGGCUGCUAUGGGUUUCUAGCAAGAACGUUUCUUACCUACGCAAAGACCACAACGUGAUAUGCCAAUUGCUAUUUACCCUUCAUAAGGACCCUUUUCAUCGAAUCCGAUCCGACUAAAGUGGGAGAGACAGACACCCGCCAGCCACCUUAUGCAACUAGUGCAUGUUUGUCGGUGGAACCGGUCUCACGUAAGAGUACGUGUAAGGUUGGUCCGGGCCGCUUCAUCCCACGAUGCCGCCGAAUCAAGAUAAGACUAGUAACGGCAAGCAUAUUGAACAAAAUCAACGCCCACAACUACUUUGUGUUCUACUCGUGCAUAGAAUCUACGCAAUAGACCUAGCUCAUGAUGCCAUUGUUGGGGAACAUAGCAGAAAUUCAAAAUUUUCCUACGUGUCACCAAGAUCUAUCUAUGGAGAGACCAGCAACGAGGGGAAGGAGAGUUGCAUCUACAUACCCUUGUAGAUCGCUAAGCGGAAGCGUUCAAGUGAACGGGGUUGAUGGAGUCGUACUCGUCGUGAUCCAAAUCACCGAUGACCAAGUGCCGAACGGACGGCACCUCCGCGUUCAACACACGUACAACCCGGUGACGUCUCCCAUGCCUUGAUCCAGCAAGGAGAGAGGGAGAGGUUGAGGAAGACUUCAUCCAAUAGCAGCACAACGGCGUGGUGGUGGUGGAAGAUCGUGGCUAUCCUGCAGGGCUUCGCCAAGCACCACAGAAGAGGAGGAAGAGAGAGAUGCAGGGCUGCACCAACGAGAGAUUGAAUCGCAUGUUGUGGGCAGCCCCCUAGGCCUCAUAUAUAUAGGGGAAGGGGAGGGCUGCGCCCCUUCUAGGGUUUCCCACCCCUAAGGGGGGGCGGCAGCCCUAGAUGGCCAAGGGGUGGCGGCCAAGGGAGGGGAGAAGGGGGAGGCGCCCCUAGGGUGGGCCUUAAGGCCCAUCUGGACCUAGAGUUUGCCUCCUCCCACUUCCCCUGCGCCUUGGGCCUUUGUGGGAGGCGCACCAGCCCACUAAGGGGCUGGUACCUCACCACUCUUGGCCCAUGCAACCUUCUGGGGUUGGUGGCCCCACUUGGUGGACCCCCGGGACCCUCCCGGUGGUCCCGGUACGUUACCGAUAAACCCCGAAACUCUUCCGGUGACCAAAACAGGACUUCCCAUAUAUAAAUCUUUACCUCCGGACCAUUCCGGAACUCCUCGUGAUGUCCGGGAUCUCAUCCGGGACUCCGAACAACAUUCGGUAACCACAUACAAACUUCCUUUAUAACCCUAGCGUCAUCGAACCUUAAGUGUGUAGACCCUACGGGUUCGGGAGACAUGCAGACAUGACCGAGACGUUCUCCGGUCAAUAACCAACAGCGGGAUCUGGAUACCCAUGUUGGCUCCCACAUGUUCCACGAUGAUCUCAUCGGAUGAACCAUGAUGUCAAGGACUUAAUCAAUGCCGUAUACAAUUCCCUUUGUCUAUCGGUACGAUACUUGCCCGAGAUUCGAUCGUCGGUAUCCCGAUACCUUGUUCAAUCUCGUUACCGGCAAGUCUCUUUACUCGUUCCGUAACACAUCAUCCCGUGAUCAACUCCUUGGUCACAUUGUGCACAUUAUGAUGAUGUCCUACCAAGUGGGCCCAGAGAUACCUCUCCGUCACACGGAGUGACAAAUCCCAGUCUCGAUUCGUGCCAACCCAACAGACACUUUCAGAGAUACCCGUAGUGUACCUUUAUAGCCACCCAGUUACGUUGUGACGUUUGGCACACCCAAAGUAUUCCUACGGUAUCCGGGAGUUGCACAAUCUCAUGGUCUAAGGAAAUGAUACUUGACAUAAGAAAAGCUUUAGCAUACGAACUACACGAUCUAGUGCUAUGCUUAGGAUUGGGUCUUGUCCAUCACACCAUUCUCCUAAUGAUGUGAUCCCGUUAUCAACGACAUCCACUGUCCAUGGUCAGGAAACCGUAACCAUCUAUUGAUCAACGAGCUAGUCAACUAGAGGCUUACUAGGGACAUGGUGUUGUCUAUGUAUCCACACAUGUAUCUGAGUUUCCUAUCAAUACAAUUCUAGCAUGGAUAAUAAACGAUUAUCAUGAACAAGGAAAUAUAAUAAUAAUCAAUUUAUUAUUGCCUCUAGGGCAUAUUUCCAACAGUUCUGGUGUUUAUUUUGCAGGAUCAGUUUAACAUGGAUGAAUCCAAAUUAAACUAGGGGCUAAUGUCGGGGAUAUACCCCGCGGUAAACCGGCCGGAUGUAUAACCCGGCUGAAGAACGGUGCUUCAUUGCUGACCCGUCCGGAGCUUGGCGACUCAUGGCUAUCCUACCCUGGAUUGGCGUAACCCGGCGGGUGGGUCAGACGGAUGACAAGGCCCAAGGCCUAGAAGGCCGGUUCAUGUUAUGGUGGGCCGGUUUAAGAGAAAAGGCAUAAGGAAUAUUCCCCUACAAAGGAAGCAAGACUAGGACUCCACUUUUAAUAAAGUAAUUCUAAUCCUAAUAGGACUAGUCAUGUAACCCGCCCCUUCAACAUAUAUAAGGAGGGGCAGGGCUCCCAAAAGAGGGACAAGCAAAGAAGAAGCAAUCUCUAGGGCUAGACACAAAGAGCCGGUUUACCGGCGACUUCCUUAUGAUGAUAAUGAGACCUAGCCACCAACAGCAUGUAGGGUUGUUACCGGAUGAUGUUUCCCGGGGCCCGAAGCUGUCUAAAUCCUCGUCUUGUGUGUUGAUCCGCCCUGCGUCUCUCAUCACAAUCAACUCCUCUCAAGCUAUCACAUAGAUGCGUUGGCUUCACGAGUAAGUCCUGGCACUAAGGACAUCUGCCGUGACAAUUCCACGACACCCUCCGUUUCUAAAUAUAACUUUUUUUGGACAUUUCAAAUGGACUACAACAUACAAAUGUAUGUAGACAUAUUUUAGAGUGUAGAUUUACUCAUUUUGCUCUAUAUGUAGUCACUUGUUGGAAUCUCUAGAAAGACUUGUAUUUGGGAACGGAGGGAGUAGUACUAUCCCGUCCAGAAAUAAAUGCCACUUGAACCGAUAUACCUAGCAGCGUUUGAGUGUCAUUUAUUUCCGGACAGAGGGAGUAAUACUCCCUCCGUUCCUAAAUAUAUGUCCUUUUAGAAAUUUCAGUAUAGAUUACAUAGGAAACAAAAUGAGUGGAUCUAUACUUUACAUCCGUAUGUAAUCCAUAUUAAAAUCUCUAUAAAAGACAUAUGUGUGGGAACGGAGGGAGUAUAACGUAAGGGUGAAUCAAAAUCAAUUCUGAUAUCAAUAUAAGUAUCCCAAACCCAGGGCUCAGUUUCUCAAGGAGUCUGUCAUUCUGUUAGUCUUCAUAACAUGUGCACCAAUGCUAGCAGCCAUUUCAAAAUGAGUCCCGCUUCGGUACAACCCCCCUCCAAAACGUAUAAAGGACAAUAUAGUCUUUUCACGCAUCGUAUCCUUUUUCAUAAGCAUGUUCCGUUGCAUGCCGUAUGUACGAGGAGCCCAUUUAUGUGCUAACACCCACAGGUUGGCCCAUUAAUAUUUUUUUUAAUAUUCAAAACAGAUGCGGGUAGUGUGAUUCGAACUCAUUACCACAUUGUAUUCAUACAGUGCACUAACUAAGUGGUAGAGCUGACGCUGGCGUACAGACGGCGGGCGGGUCAGACGGAUGACAAGGCCCAAGGCCUAGAAGGCUGGUUCAUGUUAUGGUGGGCCGGUUUAAGAGAAAAGGCAUAAGGAAUAUUCCCCUACAAAGGAAGCAAGACUAGGACUCCACUUGUAAUAGAGUAAUUCUAAUCCUAAUAGGACUAGUCAUGUAACCCGCCCCUUCAACAUAUAUAAGGAGGGGCAGGGCUCCCAAAAGAGGGACAAGCAAAGAAGAAGCAAUCUCUAGGGCUAGACACAAAGAGCCGGUUUACCGGCGACUUCCUUAUGAUGAUAAUGAGACCUAGCCACCAACAGCAUGUAGGGUUGUUACCGGAUGAUGUUUCCCAGUGCCCGAAGCUGUCUAAAUCCUCGUCUUGUGUGUUGAUCCGCCCUGCGUCUCUCAUCACAAUCAACCCCUCUCAAGCUAUCACAUAGAUGCGUUGGCUUCACGACUAAGUCCUGGCACUAAGGACAUCUGCCGUGACAAUUCCACGACACCCUCCGUUUCUAAAUAUAACUUUUUUUGGACAUUUCAAAUGGACUACAACAUACAGAUGUAUGUAGACAUAUUUUAGAGUGUAGAUUUACUCAUUUUGCUCUAUAUGUAGUCACUUGUUGAAAUCUCUAGAAAGACUUGUAUUUGGGAACGGAGGGAGUAGUACUAUCCCGUCCAGAAAUAAAUGCCACUUGAACCGAUAUACCUAGCAGCGUUUGAGUGUCAUUUAUUUCCGGACAGAGGGAGUAGUACUCCCUCCGUUUCUAAAUAUAUGUCCUUUUAGAAAUUUCAGUAUAGAUUACAUAGGAAAUAAAAUGAGUGAAUCUAUACUUUACAUCCGUAUGUAAUCCAUAUUAAAAUCUCUAUAAAAGACAUAUGUGUGGGAACGGAGGGAGUAUAACGUAAGGGUGAAUCAAAAUCAAUUCUAAUAUCAAUAUAAGUAUCCCAAACCCAGGGCUCAGUUUCUCAAGGAGUCUGUAAUUCUGUUAGUCUUCAUAACAUGUGCACCAAUGCUAGCAGCCAUUUCAAAAUGAGUCCCGCUUCGGUACAACCCCCCUCCAAAACGUAUAAAGGACAAUAUAGUCUUUUCACGCAUCGUAUCCUUUUUCAUAAGCAGGUUCGGUUGCAUGCCGUAUGUAUGAGGAGCCCAUUUAUGUGCUAACACCCACAGGUUGGCCCAUUAAUAUUUUUUUUAAUAUUCAAAACAGAUGCGGGUAGUGUGAUUCGAACUCAUUACCACAUUGUAUUCAUACAGUGCACUAACCAAGUGGUAGAGCUGACGCUGGCGUACAGACUAGAACUUUUCUUAUUCUUAUGCUAUAAACAACUCGUGAACAACCUAUGUACCCAUGCGUUCUACAAAUGUUUCUCGGCCGCAGCUGUGCCCUCAGACGUGACGUAAACAAGAAAGGCAACACCUUGUUUAAAUUUUUUUUCCGGUUUUGUCUAGCCAUUUUUCUACUGUUUUUUUCUCGAUCUUCUUCUCUUUUUUCAUUUUCUUUUCCUUUCUAAAAUUCACGAAUUUUUUGUAAAAUCCAGAAAUUUUCAUAAAUUCAUGAACUGUGUUUUAAGUCCGUGUCUAAUUUCUUAAACUUGUGAACUUUUUCUGAAAUCACUGAUUUUUUGCAAAUACAUGAACGAUUUUCAGAUCCACGAACCUGUCUCAAUUUUUACAAACUUUUUCUAAAACCCAUGAUUUUUUUCCAAAAACUCGUGCGAACAAUCUAUGUCCGAGCGAGAGGAAAGAUGAACGAGAAGGAAAUAGCCAUUUCCUCUGCUUGUCAUAAGCAUCGGUCUUCAAUGUACUCUUUGUUUAGGAUAUGGACUGCUACCAUGAAUAUUCACUAGUUUCGAACUAGGAAGGUUCAUACAAACAGUUCGUAUUCUUCAAAAUGAGAGCAUUGAUGACUGUUGUAUUGUUUUAAAAUUAACUUUUUUUGGUUCUUGUAUUAUUUGUCCUGUGACACAUUUUUUGUCACGUAGCAUUUUUUCACAUCCAUCAAGUGGAUCCAUUUAUUUCCCGUAGUAUUCUAUCAUCAUGGCAAGCAUCCAUGCCAAGUUUUAUUAUGUUUUGUUAUUCUAUGUAUUUUCUAGGGUUUUCUCAGUGGAAAGUCCCUAAAAUACUUACCGCACGUGACGCAACGUAUGUUUACUGUCCGAAUUCAUUCAAUUUUUGCGUGGAGUACUAGGGUGACCAUAUUUAUUCAUAUUUAUCGCAAUGUUACAAAAUGUGCAGCAUAUUUAUUUAUUUAUUCAUAUUUUUCAAAAAGUUUGAAAAUAUCAAAAAAUGGUCGCAUUUUUAGAAAAAAAAUCAGAUUUUUAAAAUUGUUUGUAUUUCCAAAUAUUAUUCUGAAUUUUAAAAAAAUCUUGGUUUUCAAAAUUUAUUCAGAGUUUAAACUCUGUUCUACUUUUCGGAAAAUUUGUAUGCAUGUUAAAAAAAUCAAUUUUGAAUUUCUUUUGCGUUCAAAAAAGUCACAUUCAAAAUUCUAAAAAAUUGUUCAGCUAUGUCGCUGUUAAUAGUUUUAAGAUACCGCGCUGCUCCUUUGUCAUUAUAGUUGGGUCAGUCUAGUGGUUGGCUCAUGUGCAAGGUCCUAUGUUCAAUACCUGACGCGUGCACAUUUUUUUAGGAUUUUCCAGUGUUUCAGAUAGACCGACUUGCUGUUGGGCCGGCCCAGGCUACUGUUUUUUUUUGCAGGGAGCCCAGGCUACUGUUAGCCGCUGUUUAUUUUCGCGAGCUGUCUCAAAAAUAAACGUCGCUGACGUAUUUUUAAAAAAAGACCAUCAUACCCUUUAUUGUAAAGGGGUAUGAAGAAAUCUUCUCCGUUGAUGUGUUUAGGGGGGGUUGUACCGAAGCAGAAGUGUUUCAAAAUACACACAAACACUUAAACUUUUCCGGUUUUUAGUAAAUUUACUACAAGUGACAAAAAUGGUUGAUCGAACAACGGUAAAUAGGGAUUUUGAAUUGCUCGUUGCAAAAUAAAAAUCAAUGACCUCUUCGUACAUUGCUUAUCAUAGGAGUAGUAGAGUAGAGAAAACACAAACAAAAUUCAAAAUGAUUGAAAAGUUUUUGCAGCUUUUUUUGGGGGAGUGGGAUGGUGUUCGACUUUGGACAUUCGAUCUUUAGAAAACAAUGCUCCUUGUGUGCUAUUUUCUGUACGUCUCGGCGCUACUGUUUCAUUGGAAGCUGAACAUUUUUUAUGAAGGCCCAGCUGUACAUGUACUCAGAAUCAAUGCCCUCGGUAUCCUCGAUCCAAAGAAAAAUACUUAAAACAUGGGUACACUAUUGCAACACAUAGACCAAUUAAGAACCUUUAACUGCCGUUUGCAGAGAAACAAGAGUUCUUUUUUUCUUCUGUAAAAAGAAACAAAGUCCUUAAUUUUCUGUGAAUGUUGUUAGUAUUUCUGUUUUAACAACUAUUUCUAAUUAUUUUUUUGCACAUACACAAACUUUCUAACUCCAAGCAUGCAUACGUCGAAUAAAACCAGGUAUCUCAUUGUGAUGGAUGAUGUAUGGAGCCUACCAGCCUGGGAAGCUAUCUGGAACAUAUUUCCAAAGAGUAAUUGCGGCAGCAGAAUCACUGUGACAACUCGGAUAAAGGAAGUGGCUGUGGCAGCUAGUGCCGACUUUGUCCAUCACAUGGAGCCCCUAGAAAGAGAAGCAUCUGAGAAACUAUUUGUCAAAAGAGUGUUUAGCUCCACAAAGCUGGGUGAUUGCCCCACAGAACUUAAAGAAACCAUGGAUAUAAUUUUGAAAAAAUGUGGUGGGUUGCCGUUGGCCAUCGUUAGCAUCGCCAGCCUUCUGCCAAGCUCUACGUCAGCUGAGAGCAUAGAUAUGUGGAAACAAGUUUCUAGAUCAAUUGGUUCUGAUAUGGAAAGCAACCGUACCCUCGAGGGGAUGAGGCAGUUGAUUACACUCAGCUAUGACUACCUACCUCAUUAUCUGAAGGCUUGCAUGAUGUAUGUGAGCAUUUUCCCGGAGGAUUAUAUGAUUGCCAAGGAUAGACUGCUAUACAGAUGGAUUGCUGAGAGUAAAUGGCACUGGUGGUCUGAGAACUUGCGUUGCGGGUGCACUUAAGUCACGGUACUUGUAAACUGGAAAAACCCGUCAUAGAACUUGCAUUGCGGGUGCAGAUAGGUCACAUAUGCCAUCUAAACCGGCCAGCUGUCCUAUUUUCGAGAAAAAACCCGUCAUAGAACUUGCGUUGCGGGUGCAAAUAGGUCACAUUUCAAAAUUUUUGUUCCCGGACAUUUUUUCAAAGUCACGAAUCACAAAUAUUUUUAAUAAAUAUUUUUUAAUUUAUCGUCCGAGAACAAUUUUUUUAAAGUCAUGAAUCACAAACAUUUUUUUAAAUGUUCACCACUUAAAACAAAUGUUCGCAAAUCACAAAUAUUUUUCAAAUUUAUCAUUUGCAAACAUUUUUUAAAGUCGUGAACAAAUUUUUUUUUAAAGUCACGAAUCAUAAAUAUUUUUGAAUUUGUCAUUCGCGAAAUUUUUUUAGAGUCGUGAAUCACAAUUUUUUAUUGUUCACAGCUUUAAAAAAUGUUCAUGAAUCAAAAUAUUUUUCAAAUUUAUCGUUCUCGACCUUUUUUUAAUGCCGUGAAUAAAUACUUUUCAAAUUAAUCAUUCCUGAACAUUUUUAAAUUUAUCAUUCAAAAACAUUUUCAAAUUUUUCGUUCCUGGACAUUUUUUUAAAGUCACUAAUCACAAAUAUUUUUAAUUUAUCAUUCGCGAACAUUUUUUUAAAGUUGCGGAUCACAAAUAUAUUUUUUGAACCGUCCGCGAACAUUUUUUAAAGUCGUGAACAAAUAGUUUUCAAAUUUAUCGUUCACGAACAUUUUUUUAAAGUCACGAAUCACAUAUAUUUUUAAAGUCGUGAACAAAUUUAUCGCGCUUGACCGUUAGAAGGAGAAAACCGGGCAGCUAGCCGGUUCAGAUGACCUGUGUGACCUAUCUGCACCCCUAAUGCAAGUUCUAUGACGGGUUUUUCCGGUUUGCAAGUACGGUGACUUAAGUGCACCCGUAGCGCAAGUUCUCGGACCGCCGGUGCCAUUUACUCGAUUGCUGAAGGUCUGGUCACUGAGAAACGUGGCUUGACUUUGUUGGAGGUUGCAGAAGAAUACUUCAACGAGUUGAUAAGUAGGAAUAUGAUUCAACUAGACAAGUUUGUGUACCAGUUAAAAGAUUCUAGAGAAGUGGAGGUACAGGGGUGCCGGGUGCACGACAUGAUCCUUGAGGUCAUGGUGUCCAAAUCCCAUGAGUCUAACUUUGUUAGCUUGGUAGGGUGUGAAUUUGAAGGGAAGACAGAUGGACAUGGCAAGGUCCGCCGCCUCUCCAUCCAUGAUAACGACCAUGACGAGCAUCAUCAUUCAAGGCAUGGUGUUGAAGCGAUGAAGCUACAGCAUGUCCGGUCAUUGACCACAUUUCAACGUGUUGGCCUUGCCAAGCUGCUGGAUCGCCUAGGUGAGUUCAAAUUGCUGAGGGUACUUGACCUGGAAGAUUGCACAUCCAUGAGAAACAAACACAUGAGAGAUGUCUGCCGUCUGUAUCUUCUCAGGUUCUUGAGCUUGAGGGGUACAGGAGUCAAAAUAAUGCCUCGCAAAGUUGGCAAUCUAGAGCACUUGGAGACUCUUGAUGUACAACACUCUCAUCAAGAAGUUACCACGGACUGUGAUAAAGUUAAGCAAACUAGAGCGCCUAUGGGCCAAUAGUUGGAAUCUGCCUCGAGGGAUCUCGAAGAUGAAAGCAUUGCGCGAGGAGGACACAGGAGUCCUUGAUGUUCCAUCGGUUGCUCAAGAGAUUGGUAAGCUGACGCAGUUGCAGUUGCUCAGUAUUAUAAUCCAUGCGGAAGUCAGUGAUGGGUGUUUGACAAACCUUGCCUCCUCCCUGAGCAAGACAAGCAGUCUCCUAUUGCUAAAUCUGAAAUUCGAGGGGAGUGUGAGCCGUUUGAAGUUUCUCGAUGCCGUCUCCACGCCGCCGCCAUUUCUCCAAUGCCUUGGUGUGUUUGGCCGAGACAUUAGCCAAUUGCCCGACUGGAUCUCAUCACUCACACACCUCACAAGGAUUGAAGUGGGAAAGACAAAAGAACUUGAUGGGGACAAGUUACUUGAUGUCUUGUGUAAGGUGCCCAAACUGGCGAAUGUCCGUCUAAAAGACAUUGAGUGCAAAGACGGAGGAGAACUGGUUGCACGCCCCGAACACAAGUUCCUGGUGCUGAGGAUCCUGAAGGUGAUCGGAUGUUCGAGCAAGCUCACUUUCGAGAAAAGAUCAAUGCCAAUGCUGGAGACGCUCGUGUUACUUUUUUUUUGACAAGAAGAUGAGCAUUGUUGGCCUCGAGAACUUGGACAACCUUAAAGAGGCCAGGCUCAGUGGUAUUAAAGACCACCCGGAAAUGGAACAUGCUGUGAAGCAGCUCAAGACUCACCCCAACUCCAAUCAGAUCAAAGUUGUAGUGGAGCGGUGGCUCUGAGGUGAGCAUCUUAGGGGGCUGCUGCUCCUGUUCGUUUUCUACGGCCUUAAUCGGAGUGUCACUAGCAAAAAAAGAAAAAAAAACUGUGUGUGUGUGUGUGUGUGUGUGUUGUGUGUGUGUGUGUGUGUGUGUGUGUGUGUGUGUGAGUGUCACUAGCUAAAUUAUGUUCAGAGUUCAGACUCGACCGAGCAUUUAUUUGUACUGUGGUUUUUCAUGUGUGUGAACUGGAUCACUGGAGUGCCAAAUAAAGCAGCUUCUAUGUGUAACGUGAGCAUAAUUCUGCAAACUAUCUCAUCUUUUUUGUUGUUACCUGUGAAGAAGACGGGCUCCUAAGUGAGCUGUUGGUUUGGCCCAGACUAUGCCUUUUGUGGAUGACAUGCUGCCUAAGAUGUACUCCCUCCAUUCCUAAAUAUUUGUCUUUCUAAACAUUUUAAGUGGACUACAACAUACGGAUGUAUGUAGACAUAUUUUAAAGUAUAGAUUCACUCGUUUUACUUCGUACGUAGUCAUUUGUUGAAAUUUCUAUAAAUAUAAAUAUUUGGAAACGAAGGGAGUAGCUGGUAAUGUGAGCGCUGACUCUCUCAGCUCCUUUUUCUCACGGCUGCAUGCUUCACAUAGCCAACUCAAGAACAAUGGAGUAACAUGUAUUUGACUAUCUCAGCUCCUUUCUUUACCACACCUAAGUACAACGCACGCACUUACCAAGGCCACUAACAAACCUCUUCACAAGGCCACUAACAUCAGCUCCAACUUGUGCAGGUCGUUGGCUUCAGAGCUUCAUGCAUCACCGUCUCACACGGCAAGCUUGGACUUUCUCCAUGCAUGCUCUCAGAACUGAAACGGCACAGCUUGGACUUUCUCUAUGCAUGCUCUCAGAACUGAAACAUCCAACUCGUACGCACGUACCUCCGCACAGACACACUACUACAUGCAGUAAGAAAAUAAACAUGCAGAUACAGAAAACAUCAAGAUUACAUCUCACAGGUAACAACAGCGGAUGGCCUUGACUGUGUCGCUUUCGGUAUAAACCGAGUUGAGUUCUGGCUUCGGGUUCUGAACGUCCAAGUGAUGAACUGAGACGGCAAUGGAAGAUUUUUCUUUUUUGUUUGCGGAUAGAUAGAUAAUGCUAUAUAUGAGCAUAGGUUCAUUGAAGUCUGUAUUUAUACAUCGCAUCACAUCCACCCACAAUUUGCAGAAGCAAUGAAGCUGCAUAUAUACAUGGAUCACAUCCACCCAUCGGAUCACAUCUAUUGAGAAAUUACAUAUAUUUUUGUAUUUUAAAAAGAGGGCUCCUCUCGGAUUUCAUGCAUCAACGGAACCAAUGUCUUCUACAAACUAUAAAAGCAAGACCAGAAAAGAAAAAUGAGAAGCAGGAACAUCAUCUUGCCAAGAGACUGCUUGACCCGCACUGGGGCGGCAAACUUCCCACUAACAUAUAGAAUAACCAUAUACUCCAUAUAGAAUAACCAUAUGCUCGACAAGUAUAACACAAAUCAAUAAAAACUACUCCAUCCGAUCCAUAAUAAGUGUCGCGGUUUUGAACUAAGGUCGAACUAAUCUAAUUUCAAACUUGCGACACUUAUUUUGGAUCGGAGGGACUACUACAUAUGCAGCGACUAGUGAAAAAUCUCAGGACAAGUGUGUGUGCGGCUGCUAUGAAAGGAUGUCUUCAUUGAAAUGUUCAUUGCAGAUACUAGCCCCACCGAGACCUCCUCUGCCGCCGGCCGAAGCAGCAGAGGAGGUGGAGGCCGACGUGGUGGCCGCGGCUCCCACUGUGGUGACGCCCCCUCUGCCGGCGGUUGCGGCGGACGCUGUUUGGGCUUUGGCAGCUGUGAAGAUACCUACCACCGGUCCAAGGAAGUCCAAUGCAAACGAAGUUGUAUCUGACAAAGGCAGUGACAAGGCUGAAGGUGAAAAAUUAUCUAAGUGGGCAAUCAAAAAGAAAAAGGCUGACUUCCUAUAGGUGCGGUGAGCCAGGACAGUUUGUGGCCGAAUACACUAAGGAGUUGUGCGAUCACUGUCUUAAAUCACAGCAUGUGACCGGUGAGUGUCCUUUGCUUUCUGGACCCAAACCGGCAGUCUCGAUAUACGGGGUGUCUUGCCAGGAGCUUAUGUUUUUUGUGUCACCGAAGGUGGCACCAUCGAUACAGGCACUGGAGGGAUCUUUCCCAGGAGUGGUCAAUGUGACUACUGGUGUCAUGAUUGAAGCAUAGAUUGUGCAGCAGCUGCGUGAGUUGGCAUCAGGUAACUUUCAGUGGAACCUUGUCAGGUUGGAGAACCAGACGUACAAGGUAGAGUUUCCCACUAAGGACGAUCAAUUACAUAUCCUGAAAUUCGGCAUGUGCAGAGUUCCGAGUACUAGCAUCAUCUUGGAGUUUGACGAGUGGAAACAGAAAGAACCUCAGGGCACACCAUUGGAACACAUUUGGGUUCGUUUUUCGGGUGCUCCACCUAAGCCGCUUAAUAAUUUCUUAGUCACAUGGAGCUUGGGUUCCCUCAUUGGCAAGACUGAGAAGGUGGACAUGCCGUUUACUCAUGCCCAUGCAUGGGGUUGCGAGAUUACUUGCUAGUGUGGUAAGUAUUGAGUUUGUGCCGGAUGUGGUCAAGUGGACACAUGCCGGGGUCACAUAUGAGUUAGAGAUUGAGAUUGACGAUACGGUGACACACGAGGAGACUGGUGAGCAUCAGGUUAUGGACACUACUGAGGGGGGUGGACCCUCGGGGAUCAGAACAAGGGGACUGAGGACAAAUCUUGGGACAUGGCCAAGAGGCCUAAUCCGCAGACUGAUAAGGCAGAUAAUUCUGCCAAGGGCGCGUCAUCCUCCACGAUACCGAUGAAUGCAGUUCAUUUUGGUUCUUUUGUUUCAUAUUCGGCUCCCAGUCAUCUUUGGAGCAACAAAGUGGAGCUGGACAAUCCAACAGAGCUUGAGUUACCGUCGUUGUUGCCUCUUGAUUGUGGGUCACGGACGCAUCGCACUCCGCCUAGGGUGAUUUCCGGGCUGGAGAGAUUUACGCCGCGGGCGACUGCUGUUAUGGAUACUGUUGCGCAGGAGGCCCUCGUCUGUGACUACCCUGCAGUGGGCACUCGGGGGCCGCCUCGGUGGAGAGGGCGCCCAGCCCGAUGGUGCCCGCGGCGACAGGUGUUCGGGGCGCCGGGGCCGGUGCCGAGGUUGGGGUGGGGUGUGGGCAGGCGGCUCCUACUCCCCCCAUAGCGGUCACCUGGGACACCACCUCUAUGGAGAGGAUGAGCGCGCCGACCCUCCAUGCCGGCGAUGCUCCGAGUACUGGGACGGGUGUCCGUGGCAGCUCGCGUGCAGAAAGAAGCCGGUCAGCGCAUCGUGGCGACGGGCAGCGGCGCAUCCAGGCAUGCUCAGCUACGUGCAUUCAUAGCAGGCUAGCUAGACAUGUCGUGCAUGCAUAGCAGGCUUCUGUCGUUGCAGCGCGCGUAGGGCCCAAUAGUCUAAUGGGCGAACAGCGGCACCUUCCAACGCGGCCCCAAUUUUCAGGUCCAACGGGCGACACAGUCUAGCACGGCCCCACUCGUCAGACUUAACGGGCAAAGGACUGACCCAACGGCUUCCACCGUUUGCGACCAUUUCUGAAGGUUACAGACAAGAGAGUGGAGAAAAUGAGCAAAUGUUAAGAGCGUGGAGAUGAAUGAGUAUGGCUAAGGAACCAGGGGCACAGAUGUAAAAAUCCCUUAAAAAAUAUAGAUUGAAGUAUUUGAGUGGACCAUACAUUUUUCAAUUUCUCAGGUUUCCAAAUUUUCUCAAUUGCUGGUUGAAACCAAAAGGAUGAUAAAACUUUUCUUUUUCUUGAUAUAUCAUCUUGAUCAGUUCACGUUGAUCCUUCCGAUGGCUCAAUUUUUGUGUCAAUGAGUACUAUCAAGAUGGAUUUAAUUGUGUGCCAAAAUGGGCAAGAGAAAUUCAUAAAUAUGGGUGAUGCCAAAUAUUAUUGAUUAGAGUGUUUCCAAGCACAAAAGAUGUUAAUGUACCUAAAAACAAGUGUAAAUUCUUAGUGGUCAACCUAAUGCAGACCUUUUCCGAUGUUGGAGUUGAUAAAAGACAUCCCUAAUUAUGCCUGAAAAUUCCAAGUAACUGAACAUUAGUGAUCUCCAUGAUUCUGUCAUAGAUUAUGUAAACCAACUAGGGUAAUAUGGAUAUUUACUUUCCAGUUAUUAUUUAUUCCAAAAAUACUUAUUACCACUUUAUUAAUUAAUAUAUUGUACAAUUAGCAAAGCUAGUAAGGUUGACACCCCUGUUGCAAUUGUUGGGGUCACAAGUAAUGUUUUGUUAGUAUUGCGGAAUUAAUUAUUGGUGUAGAAAACUUCUACAUCCUCAAAUACUUAGCUCUCAUUGGAAACUUAUUUCUUGUUACAAACCUCUGCACUUGAGGGCCCCAAUUCCUUACAUCCUAAUAAGACAUCAUUCGGUUGUAAGAAUCCCAACCGUUCCAUAUACUCUAGAUUUUUCUAUUUGCAUCCAUGUCUAAUUAUAUAUCACUAUAAUGAUAUUUCUUAUACCCAUCACCGUUAGAGUGUCUACUAAUUUCCUUUUGAGAUGUCAACUAAUAUAUUUAAGAAUAUGCAAAACAAAUAUGCAGUAUAUUUAUGGAAGUGUCACAAAUUAUUCAAGAAGCAUGUGAUUUGUCAUUUCUUUUUACAUUUGGAUUUAGGUAAUUAUGUUUUAAGAUUCAAUAUAUCAAAAUAUAUAACUUUGAAAAUAGAUUUGAAAUUAUCACGAUUCAAUAUUUGCGAUUUAACACAAAUAAUUAUAAACAAGUAUUAAAGUUUAGUAUAUAUGAAUUUCUAAAGACUGCAUGUAUGUGUCCGCCGGGCGCCAGCGUAUCUGUCCGCUAGGUUUCUAAUGCAUAUUGCUUCCACAAGUUGUCAAGUGUCAUGUAUGAGAGGAGUGAAGUUGGCAAUGAAUCAAGCUAAUACUUCCAAUCAAAUAACCAACUUACAGCUUAAUAUCAAAGUAGCAAAAAAAAUAAGAGGCCCAAUUUAGCUACAUCCCAAACAGGAAUAGUACUGCUCCCUUGGUAGUUCAGCAAUCAGUAACAUUACAAAAAACAAGGGGCGUCCCAGCAACACAAGAUCCUUUCACAUGCUCAAUACCCUAACUGACGAAAACGACGCCUCAAGUACCUUCCAUGAAAGACAUACCGCCUGUUACGUGCAGCAAGGAUGAUGUCCCCUUCUUCUUGUGGAGUGAUGGUCAAAUCAGUCGGUAUGUUAUCCACAAGAUAAUCAUCAGGGUCAUGAUUAGCAACUGUAGAACAGACAAAAAAAUCAGUUAAUCACAGGUACAUAAUCGACAGACUGAAGAAUAUGAAAAGAUGCAGCCAAUGAAAUAACAGAAAACAAACAAACAGUGAAGCUUUGUUAUAAGCUCGGCAUGCUUACAGAGAAAUAACAGAAAACAUAAUGGAUUUUGUUUCAAGAUACCAGACUACACUUGCAGCUCUUGAAGAGGCAAAAAAUGAGGCUUUGCAAAAAAUUAUGCAAGACAACUAUUAUGACCUAGAAAAAUAUUUUUACCUAUCAAACAAUUAUUAUUAAGUAUUAUCAUUGUUUAUUGGGCAAAGAUUACGUUGCAAGACAAAUCUGAAGCUUUGCAAAAUUUGGUUCUACAUGGGGGAGUACAAAGAUCGUAGGAAGUUGUCCAGAUUAUAUUUAAGAGAAGAAAUUCAUACCAAAGAGUUUAGGAGGCAGCCCAUGAUCAUUCUGUCUAGAAACCUUGAAGAAAUUAGUGAACCAAGCACUAUCGGCGGUGAUUUUUCCAUAUCCUCCGAGUUGACUCUUUUUGUUCCAGUUGAACAAAGAUCGCCACCCUUCAGCACUUCCCACCUGCCUGCAAAAGGCUGUUCCUGCUAAAUCUAGUGCAAAGUAAGCCCUAUGUCCCUGUUCUGAUAUCACUCCAACUAGCAGAACAACAUGAGCAGAAACAUCCUCCCCAUCAGCAAUAAGUUGAGCCACAACAGAGGCAGGCAUAGCUGUGUAGUAUUGACAAUACUGCAGUUGUUCAUAUCCAACACCAUCAAAGAAGGUAGCAAGCACAGCAUUGCCAUCAGCAAUUUGCCGACAAACUUCCUCGAAAUCAUCACAGUGAAUGGCCCGGAUUUCACCACCAGUGAAGUGAUGACUCACACUUUUAGUUGACUGCAUGGUUGACUGCAUGGAUUCAAAUCCAAUAAUGUUACAGCAAGUGGUGGAUAGCAAGUGAUUUCAAAAAGAUUUCACGAAAAAAACGUUGUGGACAUCAAGUAAUAGAGUCAGAAGCAUACCAUGGAUUCCAUUGGAACUCCUGCCAAAAGCAUUGAAAGCAUGCGCAGAAUUUUGUGGACACCGCCACCAGUAGUUCUGAAAGGGAACUCUUCAUCAAAACGACUAAUGAAGUGUUCUGGAACACAAUAAGUAUUAGCCACACUUAAUACAGGUUCCUCGCUAGAGCACGCAAUCAUUAUUCUGUUCAUCAUCUCAGUCAGUUGAGCUACUGCAUAUGCCACACAUUCACCUGCACAAAAACAGAACAAGAAUGACUAGGUUAUACACAACAUAAGAGCAUUUACGAUAAAAGAAAUCACUUACAUAUAUUACUAGAUGAUUUAUAGGCAUUCAUAACAAAUAUUAAAAUAUAAAACUAGCACAUUACUACAAAUAAGAAUUAGGACAGUGAAGAGUUAAUCAGCACACAAUUGGUCGGGAGGAAGAACGAAAACUACCAUAGGUAGAAUAGAUGUUGUACGACAGAUUUGAAAUGCACAAAAGAACUUACCGGGAUCGCCUACUUUGAUUUUCUGUUCUUUGACUUCACCCACAAUCGAAAUUCCAUUCAUCAAGACAGUUGCAAGGUUUAAACUAAAGUUAUUUGGGUUCUACAAGAAACAAGUUAUAAGUUUCAUUCGAGAGAAACAAAGUAACAAAAGAAAAAUAGAUGAAGGAACAAAUUCAUACCAUAGAUUUACAGCUAACACAGUACAAUGGUGGGAAAUCAAACACAAGGAAUCUUAUAGUUUUCAUCUUCUGAUGGCAAUGAGGACACUCCCAGCUUGGGACAUCACAUUCACUUCUAGUGCCAAAAACGAUUUCGACUCCAUUAAUUAUCCGGGGUUCCAUAGGACCUUGCAUGAGACCUGCAAGGAAAAAAAAUCAGAUGUACGAAAGUUAUAAUCUCGAGACUGGGUCAGAUGUACAAUUUGGGAGGAGAAGAGAUUAGAACCACGGAUGGAUAACAACAUCUACCCUGGUACGGGAUAAAAACUUGCAUGUAGAAAAAUAAAGAAACACAACACCGCCCACCCUUUGUCUAAGAUGAGGGUUCGGUGACUGGAUUAUCUAGCGAAUCCGGAAAGUAAAGUUCCAAAUCAUCAACGCAAAAUCUACCAAAUCAAGACUCUCUGCGGAUCCGGAAGCUGCUGGACCGGGGGAGGGAGAGAAGCCGUUGUGGGGGGUAUUUAUCUGCGUUAUGAUGAUGCGGGGCGGGCCUGGACAGCCGUUGGAUCUAGGGAAAAAUGGGCGGAUGCGGUGGCGUAUUCAGAGUAUGGGGCGUGGACGGGGUUACAAUCGAUCCUUUCGCAACUCUGAAUUUCAUGGUGAGUCGAGGAAAUAAAAUACAAGAGUAUAUUUACUAUAAUAUUAAAGAACGGUCGAUUUCAUAGUUCUCCAUACGGCAUCCCGUUUAUAUCCGUUAAUUUUGUUUUAACUAUGAAGAUUGACGAUUGAGAUUUUCCAAAAUAAACGAAGGGUCAUGAGGUGUCUUCAGGUCGCAUCGCUGGUUCUGUCCGCUUGUCCAACACGUAACCAACACCGUAAAGCUAAUCCCCUUUGAUUUUCUCCUCCCAAAUCCCCUUGCCAGAUCCUUUUCAAAAAAAAAAUCCCCUUGCCAAAUUUCUUCUCAAAUUGAAAAACAUGAGGUCAGCAAGAUGUAGCCAUUGGAGGGCGAGUGUAAGCUCCACGUUACCGGCAGAGGACGAGCCAGCCGGCCCGAGGUUCGCCGACGACGAGUUUGACCACUUCCCUAGGAUGACACAUGGCUUACCAUGACGAUCGGCGUAGGCGGGCACCUCCGCGGCUGCGGCUUCGGCCUGAUACUGCGAAAGCACGGCCUCGCCGCGGAUCACGUCGUCGAUGCCUUCUUGGUGGAUGCCAAUCCACCACGGGGAGUGCCGUGGUAUUUUCACGGCAGAUGUCCUCUUAGGACUUAGUCGCGAGGCCAUCAGCGUCGAGUGGUAGAUCAAAGGGGUUAAACGAGAGACACAAUGAUUACCCAGAUUCGGCCCCUCUCGGUGGAGGUAAAAGCCUACUUCUGCUUGGAUUGCAUUGAUGAUCUCGAUUACAAGGGUUUCGCGUGGCUAACCUAGCAAUCGAGGGGUUCUAACUUGAUCUUUCUGACCUUGGGGCUCCCCUUUAUAUAUAGGGUGAGACAAGGGGCGUACAUUAGAGUUCGGGCCGGAAACAUGAUCCGUGCCCAAGUCUUUCUUUUCCUCUAAGGAAUAAUACAAUGGCGGUUCACAAGUAGGCUUCUGUCGGUAUGUCAUGGGCAGGCCCAUCCAGCGGGCGGCUUAUCCUUCUGGGCGAGUCUCCUGGAGGUCUUCGGCCCACCUGGCCUGGUCCAUCUUGUAAGUCGCCAUUAGCAUUGACCCGGCCCUAAACGGGCGGGUUAUAUCCUAUGAUUAUAUCCCGAACAUUAGCCCUCAGGUUGACUUGGAUUC